AAAAAAUAACUCAAAUGCGGAAAUAAAAGAGUAAGGAAGAAAUGCACCAAAUUUAUACUAGUUGGCCACAAAUGUGGUUACGUCCAGUCUCCCGAGAUACAAUCUCGAGGUUCAACUAAUCCUGUUAAGCUUCCGGGUGCUCAACAAACCGUUAAAACUUGAGAACUUGAAUCACACAAGCCUCAACAACCUUGCUCGAAGAUACCGCACUUCAAGACUUCAACAGAAGGAAUAAAUACUUCCUUCUAACGACAACAAGGGAUUAUAAACUUCCCUUCAAGUGUAUACAAAACACUUACACUCACUUUAACAGAACUCUCUUGAAGAGUAUAUAUGAGUAAAAACGUACGCUCAAGAACACAACAAUUAAUUCAGAGAAUUGGCUUUCAAAAGCUAUUAAAUAUGCUAAAAUAAAUAUUGAGAGUGUUUGAAAGCUUGUAGAUGUUUAUAUCAGAUGUUGUGUAUCAAAUGAGAGUUUUUGGGGUGUAUUUAUAGCCCCAAAAGCUCUCCUAUCCGUUGCUAAUUGACUAAACAAUGUUUCUGAAAACAGCUAGGUUAUUCGAAUAACUUAUAGGUUAUUCGACUAACUAGUUCAAAUAUUUAAAAAACUAGCCGUUGGGCUGGCAACGAACAAAAGGUUAUUCGAAUAACUUAUAGGUUAUUCGACUAACCUGGGCAAUGGUCUUCAGGUUAUUCGAAUAACUUAUAGGUUAUUCGAAUAACUGACCCUGCGGAAAUGGCCCAGAUUUAUUCAAUAAAAAUAAGUUAUAAAACGUUUUUCAUUGAUUUGUUUGAAGACUAAAAUUAUAGUUUUUGUCUUAAACAUGAAAAACAAUUUUAAGAACCUUUUCGGUUUAAUAGAAUCAUUUAAAAUCAAUUUAUUUUAAAUACAAUAAAAAUAUUUAUGAUAUGUAUAUUUUUAUGAAAAUUAUAUUUGAGAGAAACCAAGACUUGAAUUUAAGGUUGGAUCAAGAUCACAAUAUAAAUAAUCACAAUAUAAAUAAGACUCAACCAAUGUCUUCAUUUAUUUUCAUUGCUUCAUUUAUCCUCAUUGCUUCUCUUGAUCUUGUCUUGAACUUCUUGGACUUCAAAUUUAGUCCGCUAUAUAAUUUCGCAUAUCAUAUCUACAAAACAAACACACUUUAGAUAAAAUAUAACUUAAAGUGUAUUUCAAUAAUAACUCAUAAUUAUUUGGCAUAUAUUUAUUUUCCAUCUAGUUCGGUUUGUCAAUUAUCAAAAUAUAUAAAUAUGAACAUAAAUAUAUGUUCCAACAGGCGACACCUCUAUGAUUAUCGUUGAAAGAAAAGCAAUAGAAUAUGACUCUAUAUUUGACCUGAUAGAAAAAUCUGAUGAGGAUAAAGAUGAUGAUGACGACGAGGUAAACUUUCUAGGUGUUCCAAGAAAUUUAAAGUAUUACUCUAAAAAAAAAGAAACAUGUGUCAUUAGAAAAUUUCUUGAUUGGUGCCUACUAUAAUCUUACUAAUGAUAAGAAUACAUUAAUUGAGGAAAUAGGAGAGGUAGAGAAUGAGAGAGACAAUUUACUUGUAGUUUUUUAUUUGAAAGAAACCAUAGUGGAAUUUAAGAAAGUAAAAGAUAUUUUAGCUAAGAAAAUUGAAUAGAUAGAAAACGAGAGAGAUGAUGGGUUGGUGGUAGUUGUGGAUCUAAAUGAGACAAUAGAGGGGUUAAAAAGCGACAAUAAUUAUGUGAAAGCCUCAAUAGAGAAUUGCGUGAACCCCUCGAAAGGAUAGGAAAUGGCAAGUAAGGCACACUUUAGGAUUGAAAAAGAACUCAAAAAGACAAAAUUGAGUCUUUAUGCUGAACUUGAGAAAAAUAAACAACGUUAGGAAGAUCUAUUCAGGGUUAAAAAUUACCUAUAUAAAUAUCUAACUCGGACCUAGUCCUCUGACACAAUCACUUUCAUGUAUUAAAUUAGUGGGGAAGGGAGGAGGGGUGGGGGAUGGGGAUAGGGGAACAUGCAGGGAAUUGGGUUCCAAUUAGAAAAGGCCCCUGAAAACUCACAUAGCAAGUAUCGUAACUGAUAACUGGCUUUGCACUCAUUAUGGUAACACUAAUCAAUUUAAAAUUUCCUAUAAAAGCAAUGUUUCCGUCGCAACAGAAAAUAAACUUUUUUGUUAAAAAAUUAUUUGCUACUAUGGAAUCUGGUUCUAUCAAAAAGAAAUGUGUUACGCCUUAUUGGACAAAAAAGAAGUUCAAUCCGCCCCUUUCCUCAUUAAGAGUAACCCUAAUUCCCUUGUGCAGGCAACGGUGAAAGGAAGCAGCCAAAGGUGGUACACGGAUAGUGGUUUCUCUAAGCACAUGACUCGGAGUAAUGAAUAUUUCCUUUAACUCAAGGCCCUGGAAGGUGGGAGUUCAUCCUUUGGAAACGUGAAAAAGGGAUACAUUGUGGGAGUUGGAAAAUUUUUGAUGACACUGGGAAGACAAAGUGUGUGAUUCAUGUGUAAAUGAUAUGUAAGUCAGGACCUCAUUUAAGCCUAAGAAGGAUGUAAGCACCUCAAGGCCACUGGAUCUUCUUCAUAUGGAUCUGUGUGCACCUAUGUGGAUGCCACGGAGACGAGGAAAGAAGUACAUUUUUUUCAUUGUUGAUGACUAUUCUAGAUUCACAUGGAGCGUGUUCCUCAGAACCAAGGGCGAAACCUUUCCAUUCUUUGUUGCCUUUGUGAAGCAUAUUCGAGUGAAGAUGAGCCACAAUGUUGUAAGCAUAAGAUUUGAUCAUGGUACCGAGUUUGACAACUCAAAAUUUGAUGAAUUUUGUGUAGAAAAUGGUGGAAGUCAUAAUUUUUUAGCUCCCAACACACCCCAAAAAAAUGGUCUUGUGGAGAGGAAAAAUAGAACUUUAGAAAACAUGACAAGGACGAUGUUGAUCGACACUGGUGUACUAAAGAGUUUUUGGGCUGGGGCUGUAAACACUGCUCGUUAUCUGAUAAACAGGUGCAUGAUCAGGUACCUCCUAAAUAAGACCCCUUAUGAAUUGCUAAAUGGGAGAAAACAAAAGCGAACUUACCUAAGAACAUUAGGUUGUAAGUGUUUUGUCCUCAAUAAUGGGAAGGAAUCAUUAGGAAAGUUUGAUCCUUAGAGUGAUGAAGGCAUUUUUCUUGGAUACUGAUAUGUGGUCUACAACAAAAGAACUUCAUAUGUUGAAGAAAGCAUAUAUGUAAUAUUUGAUGAAUCUACCACCCAAGUAUAAAGGAUUCACAUGAUAAGAAUGAUCAAGAUUGAGAGUAUGAAACGGUUUGUGGAGAAGUCAUUGAUAUGGAAAAUGGAAAGGAAUAUCUCAUUAGUCAACUCAAGGAAUCCAAUGAAGAAGAUUCAUUAGAAUCUCCAGAUCAUUCAGAGGCAUCUCGUCCGUCAAUCAUAACAACUGUAACGGAAAAUAGAGUUGCUGAUGUUGUGCAAGGUACCCCUGAUGCAGAGCAAAGAAGUGGUACUUUCACUUUAAUGGAUGCAAAUAAUAGGUCUCACACGUCAGAACAUGUUUCUUCUCAUCCUGGGACUCAAGUGUUUAACUGGAAGCAAAACUACUCACAUCCUCUCUAGAAUGUAAUCACUCCUUUACAUUGUAGAAUUUUGACUAGAUCAAGGAAAAGAAACAUGUUUCCUUUCUCGACUUUUCUGUCUCAAAUUAAGCCAAAAAUAUCAAGGAAGCAUAGAAAGAUGCUGACUAUAUUGUUGCUAUGCAAUAAGAGCUCCAUCAAUUUGAGAGGAACAAUGUGUGGCACCUGGUUCCGCAUCCUUCUGAUAGAACCGUAAUUGGAACCAUAUGGGUGUUAAAAAACCAGCAUGAUGAGUGGACAUACAAGAAAUAAAUUCAGGUUAGUUGUUCAAGUCUAUAGUCAAGAGGAAAUAAUAUAUGAUGAUGAACCCUUCGCUCCAGUUGCAAGGGUGGAAACUAUCUCUAUUCUUAUUGCAUAUGCAUCUGAUAUAGAACUCAAGAUAUUCCAAAUGGAUACCAAGAUUGCAUUUCUAAAUGGAUAUGUGAAGGAAGAAGUCUUUGUCAAACAACCUCAUGGUUUUGAAUUUCAUGAACAUCCCGAACAUGUUUUUUAGCUUGACAAAGCCUUAUAUGGAUUAAAACAGGCCCGUUGGGCAUGGUAUGAAAGAUUGUCAAGGUUCCUUUCGGAAAAUGGUUUCACUAGAGGGAAUAUUUGCAAUACUUUUUGUCUGAAAAAACAAUGAAGGAACCUGCUAAUUGUGCAUGUCUGUGUUGACGACAUCAUCUUCAGUGCAACAAAUGAUUCCUUGUGUGAGGAGUUUGGCAUGAUUAUUGGAACGAUUUUGUGAUGAGCACAGUUAUAAGUCAGCAGAAAUCUAUCAAGGAGCUUUUGAAGAGGUUGGGGAUGGAAAUUUCUAGGACUAUUGAUACUCCUAUUGCCAUAGUCACUUGUCUAGACAUGAACGACCCGAGUUCCCCUGUAAAUGAAACCAAGUAACGGGGUAUCAUUAGUUUGCUUCUAUAUCUAACUGUUAGCAUACCUAAAAUUGUGCUUAAUGUGGAUUUAUUUGCUAGCUUCGAAUCAAGUCCAACAGAAUCUCAAUCGAAAGCUACUAAAAGCAUAUUAAGAUAUCUCAAAGGAAUGGACCUACUCUUCUAUUAUCCCUCAGGAGAUAAUUUUGACUUAAUUGGGUAUGGUGAUGCAGAUUAUUUCAUGGAUAGAAAGAGUACAUCUAGGAUGGCACAUUCACUAGGGUCAUGCUUAAUUUCUUGGGGGUACAAAUAAAUAAAACUUUGUAGCCCUUUCUACUACAGAAGCUGAAUAUGUGGUAGCUGCUUCUUUUUGUGCCCAACUGUUGUGGAUCAAUAAACAACUAGAAGAUUUUUGUGUGUUAUCUGACUAUGUGCACCUACAGUGUGACAACACAAGUGCCCUAAACAUGGAAAACAACCCGUUUUAGCAUAAAAGGACAAAACACAUUGAUAUAAUAAAUCAUUUCAUCGGGACAAUGUUGGAAAGGUUCUCACUUGUAUGUAGUUUUUCAAACUAGAGGACCAGGUAGCAGAUAUCUUCACCAAAGCAUUGAGCAUAAAGCAUGAUGAAAAGAAUCAACCGAUGCUGGGAUUAAUCAAGUAGAAGUAAGAACCUGGUCCCACAAGGAUUAGCUAUGAAGGAAUGGUAAAGAGAAUUGCUAAAAUAAGUAUUUUCUAGCAAUGUCAAACUCAAAUUUAUACUGCUACAGAUAAACAUGCAUGGAGAUUAAAGGGCAUAAAUAAAGCUGAUGACAUUGCAAUUUGACAAAAGGAUGAGGCUCAUAUUUAUAAAAAUCAGUUAGGAAACCUCGUUCCUUUCACUCAUGUCAGUAGUUCCUUUUAUACUCAUACACCUUUUAAAGUGGUAAAAGUGCCGCAUCACUAAAAUGUGUCUGCCCUUCUCGCCACCUCUUUUUAAACCCAAACAUAACACCUGUUACAAAUCGAUCUGACCAACCAAGACCAUUGCAUCCAAUUGUAAUCGGUUCCUUCUUGCCUCUAAAUAAACUUAAAAGAAAUGUCUCUCUUUCAACUAUCUACAUCAAAGCCAUCAAUCAUUUCCUCUAUCAAAAAGCCCACUCCCUUAUAAUCGUGCCUUUUCUCGAAAAAAAUCACCAUGUUUUCCCAAAAUCCUUCAUUUCCAAAACACCAAUGUCACUCCUAUUGUCUUUUCGUCUCAUGAAGUACAUCAGCCCGAGCCUGAGUCUCAACCUUUACCCAAUAAUUAUCCCAUUUCUGACUAAAAACCACCCAUUGUUUGCUCUGCAAUCCCAUCGUGUAUUGGUUCUCACCAAAGCCAGAAAAAGCAAUCACCCAAACGGCUAGUUGCAAUAAUCUAUGCUUCUGAAAAAAUGGUAGAAGACGAAAUGAUAGAUGGAGAAGAGGGAAUAAAGGUUUUGAGUCAACAAGUCGAGGAGGUAUAUGUAGCCCAAGAAGCUAUUGCUGGUUGUGGCAAAGCAUCUGGAGUAUCUAUUGCUCCUUCUGCUCCAACUUUUAGCUUCCCCAUCUGGUAAUGCCUCUUUUGCAUCUUCCGAUUCUACAUUGUCGGAUAUAAGUGAGAAAGAAGGCAUAGAGAACAUAUUUUUUAUUGUUACUAAAUGUGGUUCAGCUUGGGAGUAUGUGUAUGGUCAUACGACUGUUGAGUUUCGGGGGAAGGAAAAAGGGGGAGUUGGCAACAAUUCUAUGAUUUCUCAUAUGAUUGAUGCUCAAACUACUGCUAAUGAGGGUAUAAGGAGGCUGAAGGCUAGGAAUGCCAUUAUUGAGGGAGAUCUCAGUUAUGCCAAAUGGGUACCUGGUUCUACCAGUACACAAGGUGCAGAGGUUGCUCUCUUGAUGGCUGAAAAUACGGACCUAAAGAAACAGGUUGAGAGCGUGACACAACAGCUGAUAAACGAGCAGUAGUCUGCAUUUAUUAAUUAAUGAGCAUCUUAGUAUUUUGCAAUACAUGUUAUACUCUUGUUCUCUAUUUUUUAGAUAUGUUGUGUGAAGUGGCAUGAGUUAACUUUUCGGGACUUCAUUUUUGCAUACAAGUGGAGAAAGGUUCUUAGGGGAGAAUAUAACUAAUCCUCAGGGAAAUCAUAUGUAGAUCUGGUUCAUAGGGGGGACUUAAAUUUUAAGUUUAUCAUCAUCAAAUAGGGGAAAUUGAUAAGUUACGUGCCCUUAUGUUUUGAGGAUUUAACAAACUUCAUGUGAGAACCAAAUAGGAAACCUGAUACAAAGCUUCAAGUGCUUGAAACAACAUGUCCCAUGUCUGGAACAACUUCUAAAUAAUAUCAGUCAAAGAAAUAGCAGAGAGAACAUAUGGCAAUCAGUUUCUCUGGUCAUAGUACAAGUCAGCAUUGCACAUAGUAGUGCAACAGUCACUUUUUGAAGCAUAUUGUGUACCAGAUCGUUGCAUACAUCAUUCCAAUGACCUCACUUAUAUAUUACCAACAUGAUACAAGGGAUUACACAUGCUUGAAAUAUCCUAAAACAUUAAUUUUCUCUCAAGUUUGUAGCCCCCCUUAUUUACUCAAAGACAUUGAAGAACAAAGAAGCAAUGGAAUAAUGGACCAGAUCCCAUCAUUGCAUAUAUCAAGUGCUCUUAGCGUUGUUAUAUCUUUGUUAAUGUUAUUCACUCGUAACUCCUACUCAACUUAGUAAGAAGCAUCUUGUAGGAUAUCCUUGUAAACCAUAAAUUAUGUAUUUGUGUUUUGACUUGAGUUAGUCAAAGUGAUAUGAUUUAUAAUGGAGUUAUUACACAGAGGCUUACAAUAUAGUUAUUGCAUGUUGCGAGGGAUUAAAAUUUUUAUUCAAAGGUUACAAUAGGUUGAAAUCUAAAGUCGCUCGAUAUAGUAAAGUUGAAAUCCUAAGAGUGUAGGUCGAGGUUUUUAAUCCCGUGAACUUGAAGUUUUCACAUAUAAUAUCGUUACAUUACUUACUUAUUAUUGUCUGUGUGUUCUAUGGGAACUAACAAAUAACUAGGUCCAAUAUACUUUUAUGGACUCUUAGUUUACAUCAUAUAUAGACUAUCCAAAGUCUAGGAAUAUCAAUUGGAGUUUAAUAACAUCAAAGUCAACUCUUGGUCAAACUUAUGAACACUUAAGUUCGUCAAAUUGCCAACUUUUGGAAAAUAGUGUCGAGUUCUUCUAGCAACCUCCGAAAUCAAAUCAGAACAUAUGCAUAAGUCCAAAAUCAUCAUACGAGCUUAUCAAAACAAUCAAAACCUGAUUCCGAGUUUGUUUAUCCAAAAUAAAACUUUGGUUAAUUCUUUCAACUUAAAGCUUCAUAAAACAAGAAUCAUUCUUCUAAAUUAAUCCUGAUCCACUCGAAAAUCGAAACCAACCAUACAUGCAAGUCAUAAUAUAUAAUAUGAAGCUACUCAAAGUUUCAAACUACCAAAUAGAAUUCUAAAGCUCAAAAUGACCGGUCGGGUCGUUACAUGAAGCUUACUAGGUUAAGGUGUGUUUCUUGUAUUUGCGACAUGUAGCUUGAAUGAGAGGCGACGAGCGUAUAUGCAAAGCUAGGUUAUGACCACAUUUGAUAGAGUUUGUCUUAUGUUUUUCUUUGUUUGGACGAGGUGAACUUAUUAUCUAUGAGUUAUUGAUUUGAUGGUUAUGUAAUAACUCAUAACUGAGGCUUAGGAACAUGUUUAUGGUUAUGACAUGUUUAAUUUGAAAUAAAUAAUUAUUUUUCCAUAUUGUGAUUCCUUGUUAAGCCGUGGUCUUAUACUUAUCUUAUUGAUUCAUGAUUUGGUGGUUCCAUGGAUCAAUUCAUUCAUGUUAAAUAUCGCGAAAAAACUUUUGAAUGAUAAGAAUUGAUUAUUGAAUACAGAUAAAUUGAAUUACAUGAUUAGAAAUAGCCAUCUUUUAGCUAUAUAGGCCUCAAUCCACAUUUGUAUUCAUAUGAUAUGGUGCCUCUUAAUUAUGUUUUUUCAUACAUAUAUCCAUGAGUUGAAGAGUUGAAUUUUGUGAAAAUAUGAUAAUUUAGGCACCAAAAAUAUUGUUUGAGGAUAUUAAUUAUUAUUAAUAUUGUAGUUGGAUCGGGUUGCACGCUAAAAUUGUAUUAUGUAUGGAUCAGGUUGCAUGUUGCAACGGUAGUAUGAGUGAAUCGGGCUGCACACUGCAACAGUAUUAUUAGUGGAUCAUAUUGCAUGCUGCAAUGGUUCUUAGAUCCCUCCCUCCGAAGUCAAGUGAUUACCCAUGUUACUUUGGGCUCUUUGAACGAAGACACUUAGAAUGGUGCUAGUUUGGAUACUUGUCCGAUGCCGGAUAUAUGUAGGAUCAUGAGCAUGAAUUAGUAGCUUAGACUCAUGUAGUGGAUCUUAUAUAUGUUUAUUUAUUACAACCCAAAAAUUCUACCUAAUCGUGAUGACACCUAACAACAACACACUAGGUAAGCCAAACAAUACGAGACAAAACUCGUAGGAAAUAGCAUCAAUAAUCAAUAAAUCAAAAGGCAAAUACUCCUUACAACUACCCCUAGAAUAGGUAGUAUAAGUCAAGAAUGACUAAAAUUUAGAUUUACAAAGCUGGUACGAAGGAUAAAUAUAACAUUUGUUUGAAGUUCACAUAAAUAUAAUUAUAAAUUCUAAACUAUCUUGAACAAGUGGUAUCUUGAUUGGAUUUCUAGUACUACUCCAAGGCUAUCCUUCGCCAUCCACCGCAGCUCAGUGCCAAGAUCUGCAUGCAAGAUGCAAAAUUGUAGUAUGAGUAAAACAGAUCCUAUUAACUCAGUAAGUAUCUUGACUAACUUUGGUGAAGUAGUGACGAGGUUUUAAGUCCAAAGAUACUCACAAUACGUAACUUGUACAACCCAAUAUCAUAUAUAUGUACACUCUAACAAUAUCAAAAUCUAAGCGUGGAGUACAGAUAAGGCCAUAAGUGCACAUAGUGAAGAUAUAUACAAGCAUUGUAACCAAAUAAACAGUUCCGUAUAUAGAGAAGGUACAAAUUUGGUAUCAAACAGCUCGUCAACAACUGUAAUAGAGAAGAUAUGCAUAGGUUUUGUACUAGUUUAACCACUUUCCAUAUAGAGAAGGUAUGCUUCUAACACCAUUAAAUUAUCCUCGGUUGCAUAUAUAAAAGAUAUGCAUAAAUAUGAAAUAACUGCCCGCAUUUUUUUAAUAAAGAAGAUAUGCAUGAAUGAACAAUUCAAGUGACACAGACUAUCAUAUAAAAAAGAUAUGUACCAUGAAUCAUUUCAUCAACUAAAGCAGAAUACAGAGAAGAUAUAAGUAAAAGGCAUGAAUACAUUGUAAAGCUAGCAAAUUUUCUAUAAUCCACGUCAAUCAUAAAUCCAUCAAUUUUUCACAACCUGAGUGUACGCCAUCAAGAGAGAAACACGAGAGGGCGAUCCUAUGAGGAUGGAUCCUUAUUAACACACACAUAAAAAUCAUGUAUUGCACAGACAAUUCACGUGCCAUAAUUAGAAUGCCCUAUGGACAAAUCAUGUGCCAUCAUCAUAACGCCGCAUGGAUAACUCAUGUGCCAUAAUAAUAACACUUUGCACGGAUAACUUAGGUAUUGUCAAUCCAAUUUAUCACAUAGAAAUCAUAUACAAGUAUACAUGUGCACCAUCAAAAAAUAACAAAUAAUAUACUCAUGGACCGAGGAAAAUAGCAUGCAAAAGUGUAUACAUGUAUGAAAUGUACAAUUACAAUUCAAGUUAGGCGAGUACACGAUACAAGAAUGAAUAUCAUGUUAAAAUAGGAAUUGAAGACCUACACAUGAUUUCUAGCAUGAUUAAUAAUGUUCACGUAAUUGUACAAACAUAAUAAGCAUGAUAGCAGGAAACACUAUAUCCGAAACAAGGCAUGAUAUAGACCUAAGAAUAAUCCGGAUGUGAAUUAUGUAUAGCACAUGUAUAUAUGAUCGUCACCUCGCAUAUACGUUGCUUCUCACACAUUCCAAUUAAAGAAGUAAUUUCAUAUCCUAAGGUUUAUUCCUUACACAAUAUUAGGCAAGAAGUUUACCUCGUCUGAGCUAGCCUUCAACCCCAAAUCACAUAAAAUCCUCUCUUUGGUCCUCCAAUCACACAAAUCCAAGCCAAUCGUCAAUGAAUAAAGUAAAAUAGUUCCAUAUAAAUCAAUCUCAAUAAAAGUUAACUGGGGCAUGUGCGCCUGAAGUAUGGAAAAAUACAAAAAUCCAAUUACUCAUAUCAUGCCGAGUCAAAAUAUAUAAUUCCCCAAAAUAAACUCUUUUAAGGUGCAAAAAAAACUCCUAAAUUUUGUUCCAAAUUCCAUAUUUUGCGCGUUAAAUAUCCAUGUAUAAAUCUCCCAUCACCAAGCCUAAGGUUAAAAAUAUGAGAAAAUGAGCUCAAAAUCUCGAGAAACAAGCUAUAAUAGCUGCCAAUCGACCCUUCUUCGCAAAUGCACCAAGACCAUCAUGUUUGCAAUGCACCACUCUUCCACCCUCAUUUCCUUUUUCAUGUUUGCAUUACCUACAUCCUGUACGCAUGGAGCAAUCCUGCCCCUACCUAAGACAUACUCCGUGAACGCUUAUUCAACUUCAUGAUCGCGUUAGACAAUGGGCCAUAGCCUUCGAGAAUGCACACAAACCAUUAAGAACAUGAUGAACAAAUUCCUUCAUCCCUAUUUGUAAUUUGUGAAUGGGCGCCUUCUCUCGUGAAUGCGCUAAGUACCUAACACAAGCAAAACCAACAGUGCAAACUCUGCCAAAAUGGCCUGAAAUCACCCUAGUCCUUUGGGACCCCUUCCAUCAUACCAACAAGUACAAAUACAUCAUCCAAACUUAUAUGAAUUCUCAAAAUACUAUAGAUAAUGUCAAAACCAAAAAUAAAAAAUUAAAUUAUUUUCUUAACUUUCAAACAUUCAAACUUCGUCAAACAUGUCCAAACUACACUUAAAUAUUCGGAAUUACAAUCAAACAUUGUAUAUAAGUUCUAAUCAACUAAUAAACAUAUCCAAAGUUUUAAAACCAUAUUAGGAGCUAAGUCCAGUUCUGGACAACUUUUGACAAAUAGAGCCAAAGCCUUAUAGGAAUGUCCAAAUUAAAAUUCGAACAUACACCCCAAGUCCAAAAUCAUCAUAUGAACAUACUGAAAUCGUCAAAUCCCCAUUCCAAGGUCAUUACUCUAAGGUAAAACCUAUGUCAACUUUUCCAUCUUAAAGCAUUCAAAUUGAGAAUCUCUCUAACAAUUCAAUCUUGAACCUCUCUAACACCCAAACAAAUCAUGCAUUCAAGUCAUAAUAUACCAUAAGAAGCCACUCAAAGUCCCAAAUAACAUAUGUAGAACUUAAAAUGACCGAUUGGAUCCUUACAUUCUACCUCAUUUAAAUAUACAUCAAUUCACGGACGUGCCAAGAGUCAUUCCAAAGUCUUCAAAUCACUAUAUAAACUCAUCAUAUGCCUACUUAUGGGUGAUCUCACAUCACCAAUACCCAUGUAAGUACAUUAACAAUAGCCAAGCUAAAUAUUUUUUCUUUAACCCUAGCCCAUAAGCCAUAGAACCUAAUUUCAACAUCCAGAAUUUCUUAUAAGAUUUGAUUCUUGUAUAUAUAUACACUUAUAAAAACCCAAUCAUUUGUUUUUGAGCAUUUACAUUUUUUCCAUCUAUUUUAAGUCAUAUGUAUCUUCAUGAUGUAUUCUUACUAGUGCGAAUUGUUGGUUUUGAUUUUCAGGUGAUUCGAAAUUGAUUUGAAAGAAUGUUUCUCAACUAGUUCACCAAGUUUGACUUUUAUGUAUAUUACCUCAUAUUAGAGUUUUGAUGGUUUUUCUAGGGUUGGAUAGUGAUUUUUCACUUGGUCAAAUGUUUGGAUUUGCAUUUGGAUGUUUCUAGAAGGUUUUAGCACUAAUUGGCAAAAAUCUGCAACUUAAAGGUUUGGAAUGUUCAUAAGUUUAGCUGUGACUUGACUUUGCAUAUCAGGCUCAAAUUGUUGUUUUGAAAGUUGGAAUAGUUUUUAUAUGCCAUUUGGAACUUAUAUGAAAAGUUUGGGUUCAUUUCGGAUUGGUUAGGCUUGAAUUGGAUGCUUGGUUUGAGGUUUGAAGUUUAUGAACUUAAGAGAUUGAUCUUGAUCAAUGAUUUGUGGUUUAGAUAUUGUUAUGUGUGAUUUGAGGCCUCGAGUAGGUUUGUAUUAUGUUUUGAGACUUGUUAGUUUGUUAGGACGAGGUCCCAGGAGGCUCAGGUGAGUUUUGGGGUUGUUUUGGACCUAUUCAAGGCCCUUUUUACUUGCUGGUUUUUGGCUACAGGGUUGUGAAUCACGAAGAUUUGGUGCUGUUUUGGCCUUGUGAGUCGUGAUAGUGGAAUCAAUUCUCGCAAUUGCAUAGAAGAAUUACUAUUAUCGCAUGGCUGACUUUGGAAGCUCAUAUCUUGCAAUCUAUAAGAAAUGUAGAGAUGAUCCAAAAAUUAAUAUCAUAGCCUAUUCUGUCUAGUUUUUAGAAAACUAAAUUGUUUUUCAUUUGGAUUUUUGUACAAAAUGUUAUGCCAAUUAUAUAAUUGGCUGCCUGGAAGAGUUGGCAAAGUUAUUUGGAGUUUGUUCAUCGCGAUCAAAGGGGCAUGGCUAUGAUCGUGAAGGGUAAAAAAUAUGUUGGAAUUUUAUUUGAAUCGGGAUUCUGACGUUGGUGACCGUGAUCAUGAAUAAAGAGCCCUAGCACCGCAUUAACACAUUAAAUUUUGGGAUUUUCAGUUUAUUUUCUUCAUAUUUUGUGGUGGGAAGCUCAAAUUUUGGGCAAUUUCGGAGACGGUUUUCACCAAAUGGAUUGGGGCAAGUAUUUUCUACUAGAGUUUUAAUGAAAUUUGUGAUUCCAUCUUCAAUUUUGGUAUUUGAUUGAAGAUUUUGAAUGUUUUGAGCAUUUUUUGCAUAUUUUCCUAAAGUGGAUUUUUUAGUUUUCAACAUCGAUUCAGAAUCGAAUUUGAGUGAAACUAGUAUGAUUGGACUUGCAUUCGAAUGGGUUAUCUGAAUUUGUGAGAUUUGUUAUGUUCCGAGGUGCAUGCAUGGGUUUAAGUUUUUGGUUUACUAUGAGUACUUUAUUAAAUAAUCAAUCUUUAUCAUUUGGGUUUGUGUCCUAUGGAACUAUUUGAUGUUUUUGAGUUAUUUUUUGCUAGUUUCGAGUCGUUCAAAUGUUUAUUUUUUUGGGAUGGAAUUUUUAGAGUAUCACUUGGCUUGAUCGAUAUUUGAUUUGGAUUCCUUGAGGUAAGUAACAUAAAUAAACUUGGAUUUGAGGGAAAUUAACUAUAGAAACUAUGUUAUAUGAAAGGUAUUGUGGUGACGUAGCGCGGUGCAUGCACCGAGGUAUUUACGGGUAGUUCUUAGGCUAUUUUAUGGAUUGUUUUGGUAUCAUUCUUCUUUGAUAUCAUGUUUUAUCCAUUUGUGCGACUACGUGGUAUAUUAUUCAUGCCAGAAUUCGUGCCUAGGAUACCUGUUCAAUUGUUGGAGACAUUAUAAGGCUAUUUUUGCAAUUUUAAGCUAUUUGCCUUAGUCGUAGUCAUAUUGUACAGUCAUGAUAGUUACAUCCGCAUGUUAUAUCUCGGUCUCCAUGCACUUUUUAUAUACUGUCUCACAUAUUAUUGGUGUCCUUGUACGUGACACGAGUUUGAACUGUAUUUGAGAAAUAUUGUGUUAUUCUGUUUUAAAUAAGUGCAUUGUGAUUAUGUAAGAUGCCUGCAUAUUGGGACUUGAGCGGAUUGUUGAUAGAUAUGGGCCAUAGAACCGUAUUGAUAUGGAUAUUUUGGUCAGGUUGUAAGCUCUAAUGGUUAUAUUGAUAUUUAGAUGACGUGUAUGUCAACCAACACAUUGGGCUAACCUCUACUGAUUUGAGGCUAUGUGUCACGACCCCAAACCCGAUCGUGAUGACGCCCCGCCGCAAGGCUGGGCAAGCCCAACCAAACCACUUCCAAAGAACGGCAUUCCAGCCCAAGGAGAUACAAAUUUAAGGUAAAAUAGCAAAUUUAAAAAUAUAAACUCCAAACCAGGGAUAUGCAGUACGGGUGAAAACACAGAUGAGCUAACAAUACUCCAAAAACCACGGGGUCACGAGUACAGAGCCUCUAACAAUACUAAAUACAAGUCUGAAUGGAAAAUGAUACAAAUGUGUGACGAAAACAACAAAGACAGAGUAGGCGGCCCUGCGAACACUAGGUAGCUACCUUAAUUCUAUGAUCUCUCAAAUAAGCAACGGCAAUAACACUAGAUCUCUGGAGCGCUUGGAUCAGAACACAAGGUGUAGGGAGUAUGGGGUAAGUCUACCAACUCAGCGAGUAAUAAGCAUGUAUAAAAACCCGAAGAUAAGAAAACACGAAAUAACACAAAAUAAAGCUAUCUAGCUGUUCAUGAUAUAUAAUAAUAUGCAAUUCAUGACAAUUCUGAGAUAACGAUCCUUGAAGGAUCCUACAAGUUGGCACAAGGCCCCAGACAUGGCAUCAAGCCCAAAUAUCAUCAUAAUAGUAUGCGUACGAAAUCACACAGAAUGAAGCUAUCUAGCAGAUCUAUAUAGUUCAAGCCUCAGAGAUAUACACAUAAAGAAAUAGUAAAUAAAUGCAUGAGAUGCAAUACAAUGCAUGAACACUGCUGAACGUGCUGCCCGAUCCAUUUGGGUACCCGCGCUCACUGUGGGGGUUCAGACUCCGGAAGGGCUCCUACAUCCCAAGCGCCAUAUCAUACGAUGCCAAUAGUUACCACCAUUCCAAUAACAAUAUACAGUCCAGAAAAUAAUGAAAUGGUAAUCGUCAGCCCGAAAUAUCAUUGAAGAAUCAUUUGAGUUUUCAAAACGUACAUAUCAUACAGUGCCAAUAGUUACCACUUUUUCCAUGAGAAUAUACAGUGCCAAUAGUUACCAUCAUUCCAAUAACAAUAUACAGUCUAGAAAAUAGUGAGAUAGUAAUCUUCAGCCCGAAGUAUAAUUUAAAAAUCAAUUAAGUUUUCAAAACGUAUAAAUAUGGCUGAGUUUGCAAAAAUAGUGUUUAAAACCCUGGACUGGAUUCAAAUAAUAUGCAAAUCAUGGUAAUUCAUAAAUAACAAUCCCUGAAGGAUUCUACAAGUCGGAAUAAGGACCCAAACAUGGCAUCAAGCCUUGAUAUCAUCAAUAUAGUAUGUGAAGCAAUCGCCAACAUAACAUAAUUUUCAGAUUGGACCGACUAACAAUUUUCAAAAUAUUCAACCCCACGCUAGCCAUGAAGUGCGUGUCUAGCCACAUAAUAGCGUCACAAAGUGAUACACCGGAGUCUCAGACCCUCAGAUCAUCAUAUACACCCAUUACUCACCUCAAGCAGGCCGCAAACUAGCUCGCAAUGCCUUUCCCUUGAGAAUCAACAUCCGCGGAUGCCAAAUUUGAUCAAACCCAACAGGAAUACAUCACAAUAGCCUAAUGGAACAUAACCAAAUCGAAAUAACUCAAAAUACACCCAAAAACACGAAGUUGGCAAAACUCGAGCCCCGGGUCAACUUGUCAAAAAAUUACGAAAUUCACAUUUUCGGAAUCCUUGUCUUGCCACGAGUCCAUCCAUAUCAAAUUUACAAGAAUCAGAGUCCAUUUAACCACUCAAAUCAACACGUUAAGGUCACUUGGGUUUCAAGUCCUAACCACCAUUUUUGACAAUAAAACCCUUGAAUUCCUUGUGUUGAAUCCAUGAUUUUACACUAUAAUGACAUACUUUAGGUCUAAGAGUUCUUACCUGAUGAAUUUCAUCAAAACCUCUCCAAAAUCGCCCACAAUCGCCAUAGACCGAAGUUCCAAUGUUCUUCACUUUUAAAAAUUUCAAAACCUACUGUUUCAUUAAACCAAGCCAAUAUCCGCUCGAGUGGCCAUUUCUCCGCUUCCGCGAGUUCCGCUUACACAUCCUUCUGACCGCUUUUGAGGUUUAACUUAAAUCCCCAGCAACCGCUUCCGCGACUUCACUCCUGGAGUCGUUUUUCCGCUUCUGCGGUCCCAGCCAAAAUGGCAUUGGCCGCUUCUGCGGCCCAUCUUCCGCUUCAGCGGACACCGCCUACACGGUCCACUGUCCGCAAACGCGGAAAUACCAGAAGACAGACUCCCAAAUCUGAAGAAAACUCCAAAAAUUCUCGUUUAACUAUCCGGAAUCACCCUGAAGCCCCCGGGGUCCAAACCAAAAACACAAAUAUGACCAAAUACCUCAUUCAAACUUGCUCGAGCCCUGAAAACACCAACAUUAACACAAAAAAUCGUCAUUUUCCUCCAAUCAAAGCCUAAGACAACUUAGAAUUUUCCAAAAUCACAUUCGAUGCUGAAACCAACCAAACGAAAGACGAAUGACUUAUAAAAUUGCAGACCUAUCCAAAAUCACCUAAUAAAGCUAUUGCAACUCUCGGAAUUCUAUUCCGACCCUCAUAUCAAAUUCUCACCUAUCAACCGAAAUUCGCCGAAAUUCAACUUAGCCAAAUUCAAGCCUAAUUCUACACCGGACCUCAAAAUUAAAUUAUGAUUUCUCUCCCAGGUCCCAAAUAAUCCCCCGAAACUAGUCGAAUAAUCGAAAAUUCGUUCCGAGCCUUCUAACUCACAAGCCAACAUCCGGUUGACUUCACCAACUUAAGCUUUCUUUAAAGAGACUAGUGGUUUCAUUUCUAACCAGAUUCAACCCAACACACUUCAAACUCACCAAACAUAUAUAUCAACACGCGGGGAAGCAUAAUAUGGGGAUAACGGGGCUGAAAUACAAAAGAUGACGUGUCGGGUCGUCACAUCCUCACCAACUAAAACAAACGCUCAUCCUCGAGUGGUCGAAAAACAUACCUGGAGCCUCAGACAAACGAGGAUAUCUGCCCUGCAUCUCCUGCUCGGUCUCCCAAGUGGCCUCCUCCACGGGCCGACCUUUCCAAUGUACCUUCACCGAAGUUAUGUCCUUAGAUCUCAACCUGCGGACCUGAUUACCCAAAAUAGCCACUAGCUCCACAUCAUAGGUCAAAUCCUCAUCCAGCUGGAUCGUGCUGAAGUCUAAUACAUGAGACGAGUCUCCAACAUACUUCCUAAACAUAGACACAUGAAACAUCGGGUGAACCCUCGACAACCUGGGUGGCAAAGCAAGCAUAUAGGCCACCUCCCCAAUCCUCCAGAGUAUCUCAAAAGGUCCAAUAAACCGCGGACUCAGCUUCCCCGACAUACUUCCUGAUCAUAGAAACAUGAAACACCUGGUGAACCCCCGACAAAGAGGGUGGCAAAGCAAGCACAUAGGCCAACUUCCCAAUCCUCCUGAGUAUCUCAAAAGGUCCAAUAAAUCGCGGACUCAGCUUCCCUUUCUUUCCAAACCUCAUCACGCCUUUCAUAGGCGAGACCUUCAACAGAACCUUCUCGCCCACCAUAUAAGAAAUAAAUCGCGGACUCAGCUUCCCUUUCUUUCCAAACCUCAUAACGCCUUUCAUAGGCGAGACCUUUAAUAGAACCUUCUCGCCCACCAUAUCAGAUACAUCCCAAACCUUUCGAUCCCUAUUACUUUUCUGACGCGACUGAGCCGUACGAAGUCUCUCCUAGAUAACUUUAAAUUUCUCUAAGGCAUCCUGAACUAACUUUGUCCCCAAUAAUCUAGCCUCACCGGGAUCAAACCAACCAACUGGGACCUACAUCGUCUCCCAUAUAAAUCCUCAUACGGUGACAUCUGAAUGCUGGAUUGAUAACUAUUGUUAUAAGCACACUCUGCAAGCGGCAAGAACUCAGUCCACAAACCUCCGAAAUCAAUAACACAAGCACGCAAUAUGUCCUCCAAUAUCUGAAUAGUACGCUCGGACUGCCCGUCCGUCUGAGGAUGAAAAGUUGUGCUCAUCUGAAUCUGAGUGCCCAACUCCCAAGGAAAAGUCUUCCAGAACUGGGAAAAAAACUGAGUACCCAUGUCUGAGACAAUAGAAACUGGAAACCCAUCUAACCGCACAAUCUCACGGAUGAAAAUAUCUGCCAACCGCUCUGAAGAAUAGGUGGUACACAUCGAAAUGAAAUGCGCAGACUUGGUCAGCCUAUCCACAAUCACCCAAAUAGAAUCAAAGUUCCUCCAGGUACGAGGGAGACCACUCACAAAGUCCAUAGUAAUCUUUUCCCAUUUCUACUACGGAUUAUCCAUCUGCUAAAGUACACCACCGGGUCUCUGAUGCUCAUAUUUGACCUGCUGACAAUUGAGACACCUUGCCACAUAACUCACAAUGUCCUUUUUCAUUCUCCUCCACCAAUAUUGCUGCCUUAAGUCCUGGUACAUCUUUGCGGCACCCGGAUGAAUAGAAUAUCGCGAGCUGUGAGCCUCCUCUAAUAUCAUCUCCUGAAGUCCAUUAUAAUUCACAAAGUCCUUUUUCAUUCUCCUCCACCAAUAAUGCUGCCUCAAGUCCAGGUACAUCUUCACGACACCUGGAUGAAUAUAAUAUCGCGAGCUGUGGGCCUCUUCUAAUAUCAUCUCUCGGAGCCCAUCUACAUCGGGCACGCAAAGCAGGCCCUGCAUCCGCAACCCACCAUCACUACCAAUACUCACAUCUCUGGCAUAAUCAUGCUGGACCCUGUCCUUCAGGACAAGCAAAUGCGGGUCAUCAUACUGGCGCUCCCUGAUGCGAUCUACAAAGAAGACGGGGAAACCACUCAAGACAACACCCGACUGCGCUCUGAAAUAUCUAACCUCACCAUCCGGUUGGCCAAGGUCUGAACAUCAACUGCAAGAGGACUCUUCCCAAUUGGAAUGUACGCCAAGCUACCCACACUCACCGCCUUCCGACACAAAGCAUCGGCCACUACAUUGGCCUUCCCCAGGUGAUACAACAUGGUAAUAUCAUAAUCCUUGAGUAACUCAAGCAUCUCUCCUGUCUCAAAUUCAGAUAUUUCUAUUUGAACAGGAUGCGCUUAUCCAUAUUCACCUCACAAGCUAUGCCAUAUAGAUAGUUCCUCCAAAUCAUCAAAGCAUGAACUAUAGCAUCCAACUCCAAGUCAUGAACAAGGUAGUUUUUCUCAUGGGGCUUUAGUUGCCGAGAAACAUAUGCAAUCACUCUACUCUCCUGCAUCAGAACACAUCCAAUACCAAUCCUCGAAGAAUCACAAUAUACCGUAUAAAAACCUGAAGUUGAUGGCAAUACUAACACUGGAGCCGUAGUCAACAAUGACUUGAGCUUUUAGAAGCUCUCCUCGCACUCAUCAAACCACACAAAUGGUGCAUUCUUCUGCGUCAACUUCCUCAGAGGCAAAGCAAUAGAUGAAAAACCCUGAACGAACCUGCGGUAAUAACCCGCCAAACAGAGGAAACUCCGACUCUCUGAAGCUGAGGAUGGUCUAGGCUAACUCUUCACGGCCUCGAUCUUCUUUGGGUUAAUAUAAAUACCAUCACUGGACACCACGUGUCCCAGAAAAGCCACGGAUCUAUGCCAGAACCCACACUUGGAGAACUUUACAUAAAAAUUCUCCUCUCUCAACCUCUGCAAUGCCACUCUCAAAUACAGCGCGUGCUCUUCCUAGCUCGCGAGUAAACAAGAAUAUCAUCAGUAAAGAAUCCAGAUACGGCUGAAAUACACUGUUCAUCAGGUGCAUGAAUAAGGAUGGGGCAUUAGUCAGCCUAAAUGACAUUACCAGAAACUCAUAUUGCCCAUAUCUCGUCCUAAAAGCUGUCUUCAUGAUAUCGGAAUCUCUAAUCUUCAGCUGGCGACAACCUGAACGGAGAUCAAUCUUGGAGAAUACAUUUGCUCCCAGAAGAUGGUCAAACAAAUCCUUAAUACGAGGCAGUGGAUACUUGUUCUUUACCGUCACAUUGUUCAACUAUCUGUAAUCACGGCACACUCUCAUUGUGCCAUCCUUCUUCUUAACAAAUAACAGCGGUGCGCCUCACAGUGACACACUCGGACAAUGAACCCCUUAUCUAGGAGUUCCUGCAGCUGCUCCUUCAACUCAUUUAGCUAUGGUGGUGCCAUACGAUAUGGAGGAAUAGAAAUGGGUUGAGUGCCCGGCACCAGAUAAAUACCGAAGUCAAUAUCCCUAUCCGGUGGCAUGCCCGGCAAUUCUACUGUAAAUAUAUCGGAGAACUCCCUCACCACGGGAACUGAAUUAAGACUAGGAGCCUCAGCUCAGACAUCCCUCACAAAUGUUAUAUAUGAUAAACAUCCCUUCCCAAUGAUCUGUUGGGCCUUCAAGAAAGAAAUUACCCUGCUGGGUAUAUAAUCCUUCGAACCACGCCACACAAUCCUCGGGAUGCCCAGCAUAGCCAAUGUGACUGUCUUGGCGUGACAGUCAGGAAUGGCAUGCCACGAUGAUAGCCAAUCCAUGCCCAGAAUAACAUCAAAAUCCACCAUGCUCAACAACAGCAAGUCGGCUUGGGUCUCCAAACCCUCAAUAGUAACAAGACAGGACCGAUACAAGUGGUACACAAUAAUAGUAUCACCCAUCGGGGUAGAUACAUGCACAUGCAAUGCUAGACACCCUCGGGUAGUCCCCAAAAGAUGAGCAAAGUAAGCAAAUACAUAAAUAUGUAGAUCCAGGAUCAAGUAAAAUUGAGGAAUCACUGUGGCAUACUGAGAUAAUACAUGUGAUCAAUGCGUCUGAAUCAACAACAUCUCCUCUAUCUGGAAGUGCAUAAAAACGAGCCUGAGCACCGCUCGACUGCUCAAUUCUCAUGGGGCGACACACCCCUACUAGACUGGGAUGGUAUUGAAGACAAUGGAGAAGAAGAGGAGGGGCGAUCCCUCUGCUGAUACCUACCCCCAUGAAAUUGAGGACAAUGUCUCUGCAAAUGACCUAACUCCCCACAGUCGAAACAACUGUUUGGAGCUGGAGAAGGGUACUGAAAGGAACACCUCGCCGUAGAUGAACCCUGGGCUGCCAAAGCGGGUGCAGAAGUCUGAGCUGGUAGGGUGCUGAGUGAAGACUGGCUCUGCUGGUGAACCUGACAGCCAUGACCGGAAGAAGCUCUGCUGUGCUCUGGGCGGCCUGACUUAGGAGGCCUUAAAGAACGACCUCUGCCCUAAUGAAACUGGCCCCAAGAUGGAGCACCACUAUAACUGCCCGAACCUCAAGGCCUUUUGGCCUCCCAUUCCUCUCGCUCUCGGUGACGAUGUGCCUCAAUCUGGCGAGCCAUGUCCACUACCUUCUAGAAUGAUGUUGCUACCACUCUCUCCCUAGUCAUCAAGAUACGAAUAGAAUAUUUGAGGCCAUCAAUGAACCUCCUAAUCCUCUACCGGUCUAUCGGGAUCAUCCAAAUAGCAUGUCUAGCCAACUGAGUAAACCUCAACUCGUACUGUGUCACUGACAUCUCCCCCUGAACUAGCCACUCAAACUGGCAGCCCAGCUCCUCUCUGCGGAACUGCGACACAUACUUCUCUAGAAAGAGAGUGGACAACUGCUUCCAAGUAAGGUUUGCUACUCCUGCGGGCCUACGCCACUCAAACUCCUCCCACCAUGUGAAUUCUAGCCCCGAGAACUAAAAAGUAGUGAAAGAUACCCCACUGGACUCUAAAGUCCUAGUUGUACGAAGCAUCCUCUGACACUUAUCCAAAACUCCCUGGGCAUCCUCGCCCUCAGUACCGCAAAAUGUAGGAGGCUGAAGUCUGCCAAACCUCUCUAACCGACAUUGCUCGUCGUUAGGCAUCACCGGAACAACAUGCCCUGGGCUGGCGCAGCUGCUGCAACUGGAACAGGGUAAAUGUUGGCCCCGAGAACUAAAAAGUAGUGAAAGAUACCCCACUAGACUCUAGAAUCCCUACAGUACGAACCAUCCUCUAACACAUCCAAAAAUACCUAGGCAUCCUCGCCCUCAGUACCGCUAAAUGUGAAGGCCGAAGUCAAUCAAACCUCUCUAACUAACGCUGCUCGUCAUCAGGCAUCACCGGAACAACAUGCCCUGGGGCUGGCGCAACUGGAGCAGCCGGUGCAACUGCCUGAGCUGGGGCUACCUAUGGCGUCUGAAGUCCCUGUACAACCUUCUCUGGUGUGCGAGCUGCGGGGGUCUGAUGACCACACCCGGUCUGAGAUGUCGCUGCGGCAGCUGUAGCUGAAACUGCCUGGGCCAAAACAGUACAGGCCGAUAAGAUAUGGGCUAACGCCUCCUGAAGGCUAGGAAUAACAAUAAACACUGUCGGUUCCUGAGCGGGUGCUGGUGGAGCCUUAACAACUGGGGACUGAUCCUGAAUAGGGGCAACAUGUGGCUCAACUGGUACUGCUCCUACUGCUCUACCUCGACCACGACCGCGUCCACGGCCUCUAGCUGGUGGGAAUGGUGGUCAUCCACCUUGUCUGGUAGCACGAGUUCUCGCCAUCUGCGAGAGAAUAGAAUAUAAAAGUUUGGUUCUCGGCACAACAAAACCCCACGAAAAGAGUUCUAGAACAUGAAAUGUUUUCUAAAGGUUUUGUAGCCUUCUGAGGAUAGAUACAGACAUCUACGUACCGAUUUGUGAGACUCUACUAAACCAGCUCAUAACUCGUGAGACCUAGAAAUCUAGGCUCUGAUACCAACUUGUCACGACCCCAAACCCGAUCCUGAUGGCGCUUGGCCAUAAGGUUGGGCAAGCCUGACCAAACCACUUCCAGAGAACGGCAUUCCAGCCCAAGGAGAUAUAUAUUUAAGGUAAAACAGCAAAUUUAGAAAUAUAAACUCCCAACCAGGGAUAAGCAGUACCGGUAAAAACAUAGAUGAGCCAACAAUACUCCCAAAACCAUGGGGUCACAAGAAUAGAGCCUCUAACAAUACUGAAUAAAAGUCUGAAUGGAAAAUGAUACAAAUGUCUGACAAAAACAACAAAGAAACAGACUGAUAAAGAUAGAGUAGGCGGUCAUCCGGACGCUGGGUAGCUACCUCAAUACUCUUAUAGCUCGGAUAAGCAACGGCAGCAACACUAGGUCUCAAGAACACCUGGAUCUGCACACAAGGUGCAGGGAGGAUGGGGUGAGUUAACCAACUCAGCGAGUAAUAAGUAUGUAUAAAAACCCGAAGAUAAGAAAACACAAAAUAACACAGAAUGUAGCUAUCUAGAAGAUCUAUAUAGUACAAGCCUCAGAGAUAUGCAGAUAAAGCAACAGUAAAUAAAUGCAUGAAAUGCAAUGCAAUGCAUGGACACUACGGAACAUGAAGCCCGAUCCAUUUGGGUAUUUGCGCUCUCUGUGCGGGUUCAGAGUACGAAGGGGCUCCUACAGCCCAAGCGCCAUAUCAUACAGUGCAAAUAGUUACCACUGUUUCUAUGGGAAUAUACGAUGCCAAUAGACCACCGUUCCAAUAACAAUAUACAGUCCAUAAAAUAGUGAGAUAGUAAUCGUCAGCUCGAACUAUCAUUAAAAAAUCAAUAGAGUUUUCAAAACGUUUAGAUAUGGUUGAGUUUUCAAAAAUAGUGUUUAAAACCCUCGACUGAUUUGAAAUAAUAUGCAAAUCAUGGUAAUUCAUAAAUAACAAUCCCUGAAGGAUUCAACAAGUCGGCAGAAGUUCCCAAACAUGGCAUCAAGCCCUGAUAUCAUCAAUAUUGUAUGUGAAGCAAUCGCCAACAUAACACAAUUAUCCCUCGGGUUGGACCGAGUCACAAUUUUCAACAUAUACUACCUUGCACUAGCCAUGGAGUGCGUGUCUAGCCUCAUAAUGGAGUCACAAUGUGAUAAACUUGGGUCUCAAACCCUCAGGUCAUCAUAUAUACCCAUUACUCACCUCAAGCCGGCCGCAAACUAGCUCGCAAUGCCAUUCCCUCGAGAAUCAACCUCCACGAAUACCAAAUCAGAUCAAAACCAAUAGGAAUACGUCACAAAUCGAGCUCCGGACACACUUCUCGAAAAAUUUCGAAAUAUACAUUUUCGGAAUCCUCGUCUCGCCAUGAGUCCAUCCAUAUCAAAUUUACUAGAAUCGCAGUCAAUUUGACCCCUCAAAUCAACACGUUAAGCUCACUUGGGUUUCAAGUAUUAACCACCAUUUUUUGACAUUAAAAACCCUGGAUUCCUUGUGUUUAAUCCAUGAUUUUACACUAUAAUGACAUACUUUAGGUCUAAGAGUUCUUACCUGAUGAAUUUUCUCAAAACCCCUAAAAAAUCUCCCACAAAAGCCAAUCUUCCGCUUCAGCGGACUCCGCCUACGCGGUCUAUUGUCCGCAAACGCGGAAACACCAGAAGACAGACUCCCAAAUCUGAAGCAAACUACAAAAAUUCUCAUUUAACCAUCCGGAAUCACCCCGAGGCCCCCGGGGUCAAAACAAAAAAUACAAGUAUGACCAAAUACGUCAUUCAAACUUGCUCGAGCCCCGAAAACACCAACAUUAACACCAAAAAUCAUCAUUUUCCUCCAAUAAAAGCCUAAGAUAACUUAGAAUUUUCCAAAAUCGCAUUCGAUGCCGAAACCAACCAAACAAAGACCGAAUGACUUGAAAAUUGGUAGAUGUAUCCAAUAUCCCCUAAAGACGCUACUGCAACUCUCGGAAUUCCAUUCCGAACCUCGGAUCAAAUUCUCACCUAUCAACCGAAAUUUGCCGAAAUUUAACUUAGCCAAAUUCAGCCCAAUUCUACACCGGACCUCCAAAUUAAAUUGUGAUUUCUCUCCCAGGUCCCUAAGCAUCUCUCGAAACUAGUCGAAUCACCGGAAAUCCAUUCCGAUCCCUCUAACUCACUAGUCAACGUCCGGUUGACUUUUCCAAAUUAAGCUUUAUUUAAAGAGACUAUUGGUCUCCUUUCUAACCAAAUUCAACCUAACAUACUUCAAACUCACCAAACACAUAUAUCAACACGCGGGAAGCAUAUUACGAGGAUAAUGGGGCUGAAAUACAAAAAUAUAGGGGAUCCAACAUAGUACUUUCUGACUGCAUUUGCAUUGAUUGUUGUUUUAGGGGAAUUACCUUCUAUGUGUCCCAAGUACAAUGUACUCUUUUGGCAGUACUCUUGUUGUAAUGUAUGGACAUGUCCAACAUGGAACCAAUUUUCCUUCAGAUGUUCUGAAUCUUUGUUUUAAUUCCGUAAACUUAUCUUCAUAUAGUUUUAAUUCUUGACUCAUUAUUUCGAGGUCUUGCAGCUUUUCAGGAUCUGGGCAUGAAGUCUGCAAGCAUAUCACGUUAUAUAAAUCUGCAUUUAACAGAAAUAAAAAGAGAAUAAGGAAAACAACAAGAUUAAGAAAAGAGACAAUCCUAGAUAAUGAAAUAUUAAUUUCAUUUGAUUUUUAAAAUGUUUGAUCUUUUUUUUAAUUUUUUGAAGAUAGAUGGGUUUACAUCGGAAAGUAAGAGAAUAAAGUAAAACAUCUAGAUAAUACCUUGAGAUAAUUCAGACAUAGAGAGAAUAGCAAGACUGGGUACCGAGACUCCCGUCUGAUGGGGAACUUUUAGCCUUGGCGACCGUUUUUCGACUUUUCUUCUGUUUCGGUAAUGGCUUAAUGGCCUUCCAAGGCUUGGCGAUCAUUUUUCGGCUUUUCUUCUAUUUCGGUAAUGGCUUAAUGGCCUUCCAUGCCAGAUCAAAUUCCAUAUCUUCACAAAUUAUUCCGACUAUUGGCCCGUCAUUGUUGGUAGGCAACAGAUUGUUCGCCACAUCAGGAACUUCUUCAUCGCUAAAAAUGAUUCUUUCAGCUUCAAUCAAAUUUUCAAUUGCCCUAUUAAGGGUCCAACAGUCCAUUGUACUGUGUAUCACCGCUCCAAAGUGGUAUUCACAUCUAGCAUCAGCUAGGUGCGAGGGAGACUCGGGGUUCGGCCAGUUUGCAGCCACUAGCUGUAAUCGAUAUAGCCUGAUUAGCCAUUAGAACAAGCUCGAAUAGGAUUCACCAAUAGGGGUGAACUGAUUCUUCCUGAAAGGCUCUCUCUAGGGCGAGGAUUGUAUUGGGGAUCAUUUGGUUGAGGAUUAUAUGGAGCUUAGUAAGAGUUUUGUUUAUAAUUUUGUGGCUGCGUGUAAGAUCGCGCACUCAUCACUGCAUACUGAGUCGGUGCCACAACAUCUUUAAGGGGAUAAUAGUGUGAAGGGACGAUGGGAGGAACAUAUGAUUGGCCGAAUGACCUGCGGGGCCCCUCAAGCUUGACACCAUCAUGGAUCCAUCUUCCAACCCAUUUUUGUUCAUCAAACCCUCCAAACCUUUCUGAGCAGCCUGUGAUAUGGCCUUAAUGGCAGCAUGACUCAAGAUUUGGCCCGUUUUUUAAACCGUUUUCAACCAUUUCCCCAAUUUUGAUAGCCUCGGCAAAUGAAUUUCCCAUAGCGGACAAAAUAUUUUGGAAGUUGUCAGCCUAUUGGACCCGUAUAAAGACCGUGACCAUUUCAACAUUGUCUUUAGGAGGCUUUACCAUUGCAGCUUGCUCACACCAUUUGACAGCAUAUUCGCGGAAGCUUUCUAUGGUUCUCUUUUUCAAAUUGGACAAAGUGUUUAUUUUGGGAGUGAUGUCCACAUUAUCCUGAAACUGGCAGACAAAAUCUCGAGCCAUAUCGUCUACAUAUGCCAAUGAGUAAUUUCUUCAUCUGUUUCCCCAAAAUAGGUCAAUAGCAGCUCCUCUAUUCCACCAGCACCCCUCAAUUGGUUACAGUAUUGUUUUGGAUGAGCGACCGGGUCUCCGUGCCCGCUGUACUUAGCCACUUUUGGCAUGUUGAAGCCGACUGGCAAGUGGACAUGGGGAAACAUACAGAGGUCAGAGUAUGAGACACUCUUUUGGCUACUCAGACCUUGCAUGCUUUUCAGGCUAUGUUCCAGGCUCUUAUUCUUCUGAGCCGAUUCCUCUUGCUUAAGAUUUUCAACAACCUUUUCUUGCCCCACUUAGAGAUCAUGUUGCAAAGGUUUAGUGAAAGAGUUUGGGGUCACAUAUGCUAUUUCUAAAUGAAGUUGGGGAACCUGAAAUGUGAACAUUCGAAGCGGUGCCCUUGAAGCUGGUGCCUGGGAGCGAACCACAGAAGGCAUGCCAGGAUUAUUGGAGGGCGCUCGCAUGGAAUAAGCGGGUUGGGUACAAGGGCAUUGGUAACCAUAUCUGACCUAGGGAUCAAUUCAGGGAACCCAAUGAUUGCACUUGCGGUUCCCUACCAUUAGACCAAGCGUCCCACAUUUCCAUUAUGAAAAGACGCAAUAUUUUAUUCUCUUUAGCAGCUGCUAAUUCUAGCUGUAGAAUAGCCAAUGUCGGGCUAUCCUCAAGACCGAUGAUUGCUAGAUUAUUUGCGGAGGCCAUAUGUGCCUUUGGAUUUUAUGCAGGAGGAAAGGCUAGACUACCAACAUAACCAACCACCAAAACUUGGCUAGUUUGCACAUCGAAGAACCUUGCUAGUAUUGAAACAUUUAACAUAUAGGAAAUCGCACAUCGGGAUGCAAUGCACCUAACAGUUAAACGCUUCUUCCGUAUGUUUGAUCAUUUGCAUAUUUCGUCCUAGACUUAACUAGAACUUUUCAUUUUAUACCUUUGACUCUCUUUGAUCAGUCUUGAUUUUGCAUCUUGUUUAUGUUGCUCUUUUAUUUUUGACACUCUUUGUUUUUCUUUGUCACUCUCUUAUCUUUUGUUGCUCUCCCCCCCCCCCCCCCCCCCCCUAUUUUUUUUUUUUUUUUUUUUUUUUUUUUUUUUUUUUUUUUUUUUUUUUUUUNNNNNNNNNNNNNNNNNUUUUGGCCCUCUUUUUUUUUCUUUGUCACUCUCUUAUCUUUUGUUGCUCUCCCCCCCCCCCCUUUUCUUUCUUUUCUUUUUAACUCUUUUUUUUUUCAAUUUAUUUUUUCACUCAACUAAUUUUAUGGCUAUGAUCGAAUCCGAUGGGGAUUGCCUAUGUAUCAUGACCCCACAUGAAUCAGAUCUUGCAUAGUUCGGGAAGAUUGGAAUGGAGUAAAUAAACUAACUCUUUAUUUUGUUUACUUUUAAUAAAACUCAGACCAUGAAAGCUCUAAGGCAAAAGAUAAAUAUUUUUUAUUUUUGAUUUUUUUCUUUUUCUUUAGGAAUUUUUUCUAAAAAAAAUACUUUAAAAGAAGAAAGGGAGUUUUUUACUUUUAAAAACUUUUCAUUACAACUUUGGGAAUUUCAAAACAAAAAAUAUAAAAUAUUUUUAUUUGAAUUUUCAUUUGUUUUAUCUUUUCUAAGGAAGAAAGAAAUUUUUAUUUUUUUUUUGGAUUUUGCUUGUUGCCUCUUAAUUUUCGAAAAUGGGACUUCUAAGAAAAUAUUUUGAAUUUUUUAGCUUGUAUUUAUUUACAAAAGUACUUCUAAAUAAAAGCAAAAUAUUUUUGGACAUUAAUUUUUUUUUUCAAAUUGUUUUCUUUUUUGUUGACAUUAACGAAAGAAAUAUUUUUAAAAAGGAAAAGAAUUUUUUUUUGUAUUAUUUUUUUGUUUUUUUACUUUCAAAUAAAGGAAACCCAUACGAAAUACUCCAAAAAGAAGGAAACUACUUUUUUUUUGAGUUUUAAAAACUUCUCUUUUUUGUUUUGAAUUUUCUAAGGAAUGGUUUAUAAAUAAAGAACUAAAUGAAAUAUUUUUUGAUCUUUUGAAAUUGGGGUCGGAACCGAUGAGGUUUGCCUCCGUAUCUCACAUCCGGUUAGAAUCAUACCCACGUAGUUCAAUCAGUAUUGACAGAAUAGGGAAAACAUAGCACUUUAAAUUUUGGCUCAUUUUGAAAUUAUUUUUCUUUUUUCAAAAUUUCGGCAAAGUUUUAGAAUUUUCUAAGUACCUAUCUCUCACUUUUUUUUUCUUCUUCAUUUUCGCCAGAUGUGUUGUACAUUCUGAAUUUGAAGAAGAAGCCUACUGAAACCUUUUGCGAGUAUGCUACUCGUUGGAGGUCGGAAGCUGUCAGGGUCAGACCGACUUUGGAAGAAGAACAAAUGAACAGAUUUUUCGUUAGUGCUGAGGAUCUGCAGUACACAAGUCAGGCCGGCUUUGGAAGAAGAAAAAAUAAAUCGAUUCUUUGUUCGUGCCCAGGACCCACAGUAUUACGAGAGAUAGAUGCUGAUAGAGGGGCAGAAGUUCGCUAAUAUCAUCAAACUGGGAGAAAGGAUUGAAGAUGGAAUAAAAAAUGGUAUGGUUAUCAAUCUUGAGGCACUACAGGCCACCAACAAAACCUUGCAAUCUGGUGGUUCGUCAAAGAAAAAGGAUUUCAACUCCGUAAUGGCUGCACAAAGAAACCAUUCUCCCAUGAAAUACCAACCCUACUGUUCAACUCCACUCACGUACCAACCCUCCCUAAAUUACCAAGCACCUUCGCCUACUUACCAAAAUCCACCGCCAAUCUACCAGUCAUCUCCACCGCCAUUGUACCAACCCACCUCGCCAGGAUAUUCCCAACCCGCACCUGUAUACCAAGCCUACACACCAAAACCUCCUUACUAUCCGUCACAACCUACCCAUCAAAACUUCCCACGACCAAGACCAAAUUUUGACCGCAAUCCACCUAGACAGUACACUACUAUUGCUGAACCCAUUGACCAACUCUAUGAGAAGCUAUGGGUACACCUGUCCUAGACGAACCCAACCCCUAUGUUGAGUCCCCAAAGUCAGAUGCAUAUGAUGCAAACAAACGUACCUACUAGGGAUCCGACAUGAGGCUAUGUUAUUACAUGUUUAAAAAUAUGGGUGUAUUGUUCUAAACCUAGCUUACUCGAGCGGACCACUCGAGCUGGGGAGGGGGGCAGCGUACCAGGAAUACAGAAGCUUCAACGGAUUUGCGACAUGUUUGAACCUCGUUCUAAAUUUAGGAUAAGACUCUAACAGAGUGCACACUUCCCAGAUGAGUUAGAAGACUUAGAGAGGAGAGGGUUUCGUGGCAGUUUAUAUACAAUCCAAACAAUAUCAAAGCGGUAAAAGCGACAUUUAGCAUAUUAGGCUCAACAUGUAAAAAUCAGAUAAAACAAGCCAACUAUAACAGUUAUUCUAAGCUCAAAUUCUUAAACCCUUAACCAAAGUUUUGGAUUUGGAUCCCCAGUAGAGUCGCCAGAGCUGUCACACCUCCUUUUUUACACGGAGGGUAUAUAAUGGAGUUUUUCCACUUUAAUGGACAUUACUCGAAAUGGAAUUAAUUUAUUUAUUUUAUUAGAGUCACCACUUGGAAUAAUUUAAUUGGUGUUCCAAGUCACCGAUUUAAUUAAAUCCCACAUCGAGAAAAAUUCGUCUUUCCUUUUGAAGUUUUCGAACCAGAAGUUCUAAGUAAGGAAUUCUAACUUAACUAGGGAGAAGUUAUUAGGCAUUCCUAGAUUCUAUGAUUCUAGCACGAUCGCUUAUACUAUUAUAAUUGGCCUAUUAUCUUAUUUAUUACAUAUUUUAGCCCAUGGGGCAUUUUUGACUUAUUAAACCGCUUUUAAUUAUUUUCAGGAAGAUUCAACGUUAUUAAAAACACGCCUUGAACCACGCCAAAUGAAAUACAUCCGCGAUCCAUGACACAUUUUAUUCAACGUUAUUGAGAAUUGGAGUUGGCUCACAUGAAAUGGACAUGGAAGUUUAAGGAAAUUAAGUUAAAUAACACGCCUAAAGCAACUACGCACAUACAAGUUUGCGAAGGCCAUGGAAAAUUGAACUAAUGGCACACCUUGGGAUUUGUGUUGUAAUAUGAUUACUUUCAAGUGGGCUUUGUUUCCUUCGCGUAUUUUGAUGGCUAUGUACUGAUUUUGGUUAGAUUUGGAGCAUUCGGAGGCUGACUCGAGAGGCAAAGGCAUCACGGGCUAGAGUUUGGACUGGAUAGAGGUAAGUAAUGGUUGUAAAUGUUGUCCUAGGGGUUUUGGAACCCCGAAGUUAACAUAGUUGUGCUAUUUUGAGGUGACUCACACGCUAUAUGACGAGCGUGGGUUCGCGCACCGUUGGGGAUUGUGACUUAAUCCAUCCCGUAUGACAGUUUAACUACGUGUUUGAUUGAAAACGGUUUGUUAUUAUCAUGUUUUUUGAAUAAAUGCUAUGUUUGGGCCUCGUGCCAACUUUUUCGGACCGUUAUAAGACUUUUACUACUUUUUCUCACUGCUUUGACUUAAUAAUUGUACUCAGUGAUGCUGCAUGUUUUGUACUUUCCUAACUCAACCUUAUUUACUCGUUUACCUUAAAAAUGGUAGCAACAAUUAAAAUUGUAAAUGGGAUUUCAAAACUACAUGAUCUAUUCCUGAGCUAGUUGUUAAAGCAGUUGAUGCUAAAAAUGUUAAAUUCUACCAUGAAACGUGAGCUAAGAUAAAGCGCUGAUCAAACUGAAAAAGCAUGUUUCCCGGAUGAGGGGCCUGUCGAUGGAGGUCUCGGAGUCAAGGCUUGAGCCGGGCUCAGGUUAUCGGGGUCAGUUGGGAGUGGGAAAACAAGUAGAAAUACGAUUAAGUAAGGAUCUUUAUGGCCAAUGUUGAGAUAUAUGGUGAAGAACAUGUAAGAAAAUGAUAAGUUCAAAAGAGGCCUCGGGCCAAGAGAGUAAACAACUUAGAAGAAAAGCGAGAGAUACAUUAUUGCACUUGUGGAGAAAUGGAGCAACAUCAUCCGUUUGUAAGGUGGGGCGAGUCCCCUUUAUAUAGGGGGUGGGGGCUCGUCUACAAGUAUUUAGGGAUUAAUUACAAAGUACGGUGAUGGGAUGUCUUGACAUGAUUCUUUAGUAUAGGCUCUAGAUAGGCCAGGCCUGUCAGACGUAGCCAUGUGACUAAAGGGCUUCCCUCUUUGUCUGCGGCGUAGUUCUUCGUUUUCUCUGAGUCGGGCUUUGGCGAGCCCUGAGGUCGAUAAUUCAGUCACAACCUCCCUCCAUCGAGGUCUCGAGGCAUGCUUCUCGAAUGCCUCAACAGCGAGAAAUAAAGUCUUCUGAUUUCACCAUGUAUAGAUAGUCUCCGCAUUUCCUGAAAUGAAGGGACGGGAAUUGAUUUUGCCAUUUGACUCCUCGGGCCUCUUUCGGCAAUGCAAUGUCGAUGAUGCAAUCCCUGGCUCAUGCUUUUCGACUUCAUUCAUUGCAUUCCCUAAUUUUUGCUUCAUAAUAUAUAGGUGGUGCUAUUGGUUCAUUUUUCCAUAGAUGCAUUAAUUGCGUCCGUCGGUCAGUCUCUAAGCCUUGAUGGUCGUACCGUAAUCCCCUAUAAAUUGGGGUUGCCUUGGCUUUGUUUUUCCUAUCUCAAUGCUUCUAUUGGCUUUCUUGCCUUUUCCUUCCUAUCAUUAUCUUUCACCCUUGAACGUCAUUUUAUGGGCUUAUGACCAUAAGUCUGUUUUGAGAAGUACCCUUAAGCUGUAUUGUGGCUUUCUGCCGGGGCCUCCAUUUGCCAAAUGUAAGAGUAUUGUUCAGCUUUUGUUUUUUCCGUCGGCACAUUGGCCCUUGUUGAUACUGCUGGCCCGAGGUAAUAAGGGAUAGGGAGUCUGCUCUUCCCUCAUGUUGACAGUAGUUUGGAUUAUGCACUACCACUGAAAAGGGGGCUCGGACUAUACACCGCUGCUCACCUUCAUACCCUUUGCUCAACGUGGCGCUCUACUCUGAUUGGGGCUUGCACGGCUGGACUUUCCAAGAAGUGGAUCCAAAAUAUCCGUGCAAGCGGGACCGAGGAUUUUUCGGUCUGGUGUCUCUCCGAGGCUUCUUUAGCAAAAGAAGCUCCUCGAGCUUCGAAAAUGUAUGGUUUUUUUCAUCCCUUCCUAUCACUCACCUUGUCCCUUGGGGAUAUAAGUAUGGAAGGGUGAGAUGAAACUUCCGAGGAGGUUUGCAUGUAAGGGCCUGCUAUGGACUUUCGAAGGUGGAUCAUUCUUUGGGUCUUCACCUUGCGCGUGCAUCCCUUUGCCUUUUCCUUUAGACGUAGAAAUCCUACGUAGGCUUUUGUAUUUGUAUGUUACGACCCCUCGAGGGCUACUUGUACAUAAAGUUUUAAUGAAUAUGAAUAAACAUCGUUGAUUUCUUCUUUCAAAUUUUUCUUUUGUUUCUGUAUGCUCUCAUGCCCUUCGAGGCUCUUCAAAUGUCUCCUUUUGUUUGUUGAUCGCUGAUAUCUAACUUGGAUGUAAGUAUUUAUUAUGGUCAUCUGAUGAUCGACAUGGGUCCCUUUCAAACCCAUCGUCGCAUUUUGGAGAAACUCUGGAUCGAUCCGAUGGGUCAGGGCUAUUGAGGCACCCCGAGUUGUUUGGGGAUCAUGAGUCGAAUUUCGGAGCUUUCGGAGCGCUAUCCUAGAUGUAGGUCAUCUUCGGGUACCCGAGGGUCCCUAUUGAUCUCGACGUAGAUGGCCCAUUUAGACUUUAUAAGAUAGACUGUUGCUGAGGAGCUUGCAUAUAUUUGGGCGCUUACUCGGACCUUUGUGGAGCUUUCACGAUCGGAGCUUCCUGCGUUUAUUCGUCUUUUUCAGAAAGAGUGGAUUGUGAGAUUAGUUACUCGCCUUGAUUGAAACAUCAUACAUAGACCUUAGAGCACAUAGUACUUUCUCUACUUAAAGGUUCUUUUAAUUGUCCUUUAGUUGUAUAUGCUAUCUUAUCCUCAUAACUUCCAAUAGUCUUCUUAUUGUUGAGAUGUAUUAAUAUGUGAGAUGUAUUAAUACGUAAAGAUGUAUUAAAUCAUCUCUGAUUCUACUGAAAGUGAAUAAUUAUUAUGUUGGUUUUAACAUGUGACUGUAUGAGAAAUUCAUUUAUGUUGGAGAGCAAAAUCUAUACACGAAAGAGAACCUCAGAGAGCAUUAAGUCUCUGAAACGUGAUUUUCAGAAAUGGGGGUUUUCCAGUAAUAAUAACAGAGUCCGAUCCAAUUCCCUUCUCAACUUUUUUUUUAUUUUUUUUAGCUCAAACUGUCGUAUAUCAUUUAUAUCAAAAAAUUUACAUCUUGUAUCAAACCUGGCAGUAGUAUGGACUAACUACUACACUGCUUCAGUAAUCUAUAUUCUUGACUAUCUAUAAAUAAGUAAGCAUAUGAAAAUUAAGUAAGCUGCCUAAGGGUAACAGUUUAACUUGCUCAAUCCACUCUGCCAGUUCUUGCAGUUUCUGCCUCUAAGGUGUAGGAGUAGUGCAAUUUCUCUGCAUGUCAAAUUCCUUACAAAGUCUGCUCCUUCAAAUCGAAUAUGGUUCAUUUCCCUCCAAAUGAUUGCAGUAGUGGUUACAAAAGCAGCAGUUGUGAUAGCAUUCUUCCACUGCUUGCUUCUAGCCUUGCUACAAAUCCAUUGUACCUCAUUAUCCCAGAAGUCAAUGGUCCUGGAAUGUCCCAGCCACACACAAAUUCUCGACCACAACCUGUUGGUGAUGUAGCAUUCAAAAAAGAGAUGCUUGAAAUCUUCAACAUACUGCUUACAGAAUGCACACAUUGCUGGAACUUGUAUGCCCAUGAUUUGUAAUCUAUCAACUGUGGGGAGCUUAUGCUGAGCAGCCAGCCAAACAGUAAACUUAUGCUUAGGAAGUACAUUACCAAUAAGCAUUAAGUUCUUCCAUGCAACCUUGGUGAAAAUAGGCAGCAUAGUAAUAUACAGUUUGUGAAUAUGGAACUUGUUCAUCCUGCAUACACUUUGCAACCUGCAUAUAAGAUUACCCUGUAACUGAGCAUUUUCUAUCACCAUGGAUCUACUAUCAAAAAUAUUUUUGAUCACCCAAGAAGUUGUAGUUGGUACAACAACUGUGUCAAUGUUCCCCUUCUUGAUGUAAUAGGCAUGAACCCAUCUGACCCAUAAGCAGUCUUUUUCCCUAGCCAAGUCCUAUAACAAUUUGAUUGUUCCAUACAGACAACCUCAGAAUAUUAAGUCCACCAGAAGAUAAAGGUUGUCAUACCUUGUCCCAGGCAACUAAUGCUCUUCUGGAUAGUGUGGCUUUACCAGUCAGAGGUAAGUUCUACAUAUUGCUUCUAUAGUCUUCAGUACUUUCUUGGGUAUAAUAAACACCUGAGCCCAAUAAGUCUGAAUGUCAAAAACCACAGACUUAAUCAAUUGAGUUCUGCCAGCAUAAGAUAGCAAUUUAGCUGACCAACAAGUCUCUUGUUGUUAUCUUCUCAAUAAGACGCAAAUAGUGAUGAAUAGCCAACUUCUUUGAAUCCAGUGGAACACCUAAAUAUCUGAAAGGGAGAUGUCCUUCAGUGAAUCCCAAAGCUGCAAUAAUUUCUUCUCUGAUGUCCUGUUGAACCCCAGCCAAAUAGAUUGCACUUUUACUUACAUUAGCCUGAAGACCAGAUGCUGCUGAGAUUUGAAGAAGAGCCCUGUUGAACCCCAGCCAAAUAGAUUGCACUUUUACUUACAUUAGCUUGAAGACCAGAAGCUGCUGAGAAUUGAAGAAAAGCCCUGUGCAAUAUCUGGAUGGAUAUUAAGUCAGCUCUGCAAAACAUGAGCAGGUCAUCAGCAAAGCAGACAUGAGAUAUACAGAGUUUCCUGCACUUUGGAUGGAAAUUGAAGUUCCUAUCUUUAUGCAACUGCUGGAGUAAUCUGUUAAGAUACUCCAUAGCCAACACAAAGAGGUAAGGUGACAUAGGAUCACCCUGUCUUAUGCCUCUCUUAGCAAUGAAAGGUUUAGUUAAGCCACCAUUCAUUACUAAUGAGUAUGAGACAGAUGAGACACAAGCCAUGAUCCAUGCAGUAAAUUUAGCUGGAAACCCCAUGUCAAAGUUGGACAACAUUGUAUAAGCGUGACUCAAAUAGUAAGACACCUAUGCUUCCUUCCCAGGUCAAUUAGAAUCUGUCUCAGAAAACCCCAUUCCAGUGUAUCAUGCUUUCCUUAAGUCCACUUUAAGAACACAUCUAGGAAAAACACCUUUUAUAGAAUACCCUCUGAAAAUUUCAUGACUAAGUAGGAUGUUAUCCAUAAUACCCCUUCCUUCAAUAAAUGCAGAUUGGGCAGGCCCAACCAGUUCUCCAACCACAGCCUUCAUCCUUCUGGUAAUGACUUUAGAUAUGAUUUUGUAAAGAGUAGUGCAGCAGGCAAUAGGUCUAAAGUCCUUCACAGUGGUAGGAGUUUUAAGUUUAGGCACAAGGGCUAUGGCAGUGGUAUUUAUCAUAUGUGGCAUUUGGCAUGUAGCAAAGAACUCCUUAGCAGCAGAUAGUAUAUCUUCUUGCACCACCUCCCAGUUCUUAGUAAAGAACAGGCUAUGGCAGUGGUAUUAAUCAUAUGUGGCAUUUGGCAUGAAGCAAAGAACUCCUUAGCAGCAGUUAGUAUAUCUUCUUGCACCACCUCCCAGUUCUUAGUAAAGAACUCAAUAGGAAAGCCAUCUACUCCUGGAGCCUUGUCCUUGGGCAUUUCAUUAACAGCUGCAGUGAUCUCCUCCAUAGUAACUGAUCUAAUAAGUGAUCUCUGCUGAUCAAGUGUAAGACAUUUUCCUUCCUUCAUAAUGCUAGUAUCUACACAGGGAAGUUCAGGAGUACAUUCCCCCAUUAAUGAUUGAAACACCUUCAAGAAUUCCUGUUCCACAGCUAGAGGAUCUGUUAGUUUUAUACAUGUGUCAGUAUAAAUUGAAGUGAUGUUAUAUGUUCCACAGCUAGAGGGUCUGUUAGUUUUAUACCUGUGUCAGUAUAAAUUGAAGUGAUGUUAUUUUGCCCUGUCCUGAUCCUCUAUUGUGCAUGAAAAUACUUAGUAUUAGCAUCACCACAUUCAAUCCAGAGAGCUUUGGAUUUCUGCCUCAUUAUAUGUUCCUCCACACUGUUCCAUUUCUCAAUUUUUUCUCUUGCAUCUCUUUCCUCAUUUAUCAGUUCCUGUGAGAGAGGAUUGCUUUGCAUCUGCCCCUGGACAAUGCCAAGUCUUUCCCUUGCCUGAACAAUCUUCUGUUUAUAGGUUGCCAUGUGGAUAUUUAUACCUUUUAAUUGCUGCUUCAUUACCUUCAAUUUCUGACUUUGCAUCUGUCCCUGGACAAUGCCAAGUCUUUCCCUUGCCUGAACAUUCUUCUGCUUGUAGGUUGCCAUGUGGAUAUUUAUACCUUUUAGUUGCUGCUUCAUUACCUUUAAUUUCUGCCAAAUCUGCUGCAUUGGUGAGCCUAUAUAAUCCUGUUUCCAAACUUGCUUGACAAUGUUAUGAAAUUGAACAUGUUCCAUAACAGCACUGUAUAGCCUAAAAGAUUUAGUAUGCAGGGAUUUAUAAUCACAAAUUUUACCAGAAUAGGGGAAUGAUCAGAGACCAAUAGAUUCAUGUAAUCAGCUUUCAAAUGUCCAAACUGCUGCAGCCAUUGAUGCACCAAAUUUUACCAGAAUAGGGAAUGAUCAGAUACCAAAGGAUUCAUGUAAUCAGCUUCCAAAUGUCCAAACUGCUGCAGCCAUUGAUGGUUGCCCAGUGCCCAGUCAAUCGUACUAUAUACUCUAGCAUCUGCAUCCUGCUUAUUUGUCCAAGUAUAGUGCCAACCUGUAGCUCUUUGUGUAGUAAGUUGUAAAUCAGACAUUGUAUUUUUGAAAUCCUUCACCUCAGCCUCUGUAACUAGGGAACCAAUUCUGUCAUCAGAAUUUAGGAAACAGUUAAAGCCACCACUAAUUAGCCAAACAUCUUGAUUGGAACCAUGUAUAGCUCUGAGAUCCUACCACAGUUAACAGUUAAAGCCACCACUAAUUAGCCAAGCAUCUUGAUUGGAACCAUGUAUAGCUCUGAGAUCCUACCACAGUUGACCUCUGAGAGUUGCAGCAUUGUGACCAUAUAUAACACUAAACUGGAUUUUGAUUUGUGUUCUUGUAUCAUCAAUAAAACAGUGAAUAAGUUGAUCAGUAAUAGAAGAGAUAUGGACUUGAAUGUAAGGCUUCCACAGUAACCAAAUUCUUCCAUUAAUAGCUUUGGAAUAAUUGCAUUGCACCUUCCAAUCCUUGGCAACCUUGUCCAGUAUUCUCUUAGCUUUGUGCUCCUUUACUCUACGUAACCAAAUUCUUUCAUUAAUAGCUUUGGAAUAAUUGUAUUGCACCUUCCAAUCCUUGGCAACCUUGUCCAGUAUUCUCUUAGCUUUGUGCUCCUUUACUCUAGUUUCUACUACUCCCAUAACAUCCACCUUAUUUACAGCAAGGAAAUUUUUUAGUUCUUUCUGCUUAUGGGGCUGGUUGAGGCCCCUAAUAUUCCAUGUAGCUAUGAUCAUGGAAAAAGAGUGGUAACUCUGUGAGAGGGUCUUGGAUCAAUUUGUUGGACCCUACUACUCCCCACAGUCAUCGUAGCCUUGCCCUUAUUACAAUUGUCAGCCAUUUGUUCAGUAACUUCAUUAUUUGCAGUGACAAGCACCUCUUGACACUCAGACUCAUUCAGUGCAACCUGCUGAGAAUUGGCUAGGCUUUCAUCCACCUUACUAGAUUCCUGCACUAACUGAUUUCCCAGCUACUACUCCCAUGACAUCCACCUUAUUUACAGCAAGGAAAUGUUUUAGUUCCUUCUGCUUAUGGGGCUGGUUGAGGCCCCUAAUAUUCCAUGUAGCUAUGAUCAUUGAAAAAGAGGGGUACCUCUGUGAGAGCGUCCUGGAUCAAUUUGUUGGACCCUAUUACUCACCACAGUCAUUGUAGCCUUGCCCUUAUUACAAUUUUCAGCCAUUUGUUCAGUAACUGCAUUAUCUGCAGAGACAAGCACCUCUUGACACUUAGACUCAUUCAGUGCAUUCUGCUGAGGAUUAGCUAGGCUUUCCUCCACCUUACUAGAUUCCUGCACUAACUGAUUGCCCAGCAUUUUAUCUAUGAGUUACCUGCACCUCUGCUACAGUUUGUUUAACCUGCCAUUCUGUUUUACCUUGCUGUUUCCCCUUCCCCUUCUGUCUAGGUGGUUUAUCCUGCUUCUUCACUACCUUAUUUUCAUUGUUUUUAGUAGAAUACCAGCAGUCAAUGGAGUCGUGCCCAAACUUCAAACAAUGGUUGCAAAAGCUUUGAGUGUUGUACUGCAUAGAACUGCUAGAUAGCUUCAUUUUGUGUUUUUUCGUGAUUUCUUAUCUUCAGGUUUUUUAUACAUGCUUAUUACUCGCUGAGUUGGUAUACUCACUCCAUACUCCUUGCACCUUUUGUGCAGAUCCAGGUGCCGCAGGACAGAGUUGAUCAUUUUAGCGUCUUUUCAGAGUAUUAUCCGGAGCCUGUCAAUGGCAGAAUACCAGCAGUCAAUGGAGUCGUGCCAGACUUCAAACAAUGGUUGCAAAAGCAAGGCUUCUAGUCAUAAUCAACUGUCUGGAUUUUUGUACCAUAAGGAGUUUCAGUUUCCAAUUGGUCAGGCAAAGGAUAAGCAGCAUCCACUUCAACUAAAACUCUGGCAAAUGAGAUCUUCUCAUAAUGCGCAGUGAAUUUAUCAGUGUAUAACGGCUUGCCAAUUGCAAUGGCCAUUUUACUUAGAACUUCAGUAGACCAGUAGCCCACUGGAAGGCCAGGGAAUUUAAUCCAAAUAGGAAUAGUGCUAAGUACAUCACUCUGAAAAUCAAAAUCAACCUCCCAGGGCUUUAGAACCAUCGGCCUAUUCCUAUAGGAGUAAGGCCCUGAUUGCAAUACCAUAUCUCUAUCCUCAAUGCUAUUAAAUCGAAAAAUACAGUACCCUUCAACAUGCAUUAAUACCUGAGGUUUAGCAACAAAGUUCCAUACAUGCAUGACAAAGCUUUCCAUACUCCUCUCACUAGGAUUAUCAUCAAUUACAAAUCCAAUCAGUGCAUUUUGCCAGUAAUCUAACUAAGGCUUCAGAUCUUCCUCACUUAUCUUCACAACUUUUUUCCCGUCUCGAUCAGAAGGAGGCACAAAUGAGAGUAUCUUACCCAUUUGUGCAUCUCGAUUACCUCUAACCACUUCAUUGUUAGUUUUAUACUUGUGUCAGUAUAAAUUGAUACAUGCAUGACAAAGCUUUCCAUACUCCUCUCACUGGGAUUAUCACCAAUUACAAAUCCAAUCAGUGCAUUUUUCCAGUAAUCUAACGGAGGUUUUCAGAUCUUCCUCAUUUAUCUUCACAACUUUUUUCCCGUCUCGAUCAGAAGGAGGCACAAAUGAGAGUAUCUUACCCAUUUGUGCAUCUCGAUUACCUCUAACCACUUCAGCAACAGUCGGAGCUGCAGAUUCAACAAUAACCUCAGAGAAUUGGAGUCUCCUUGUGGUCGAGUUCAUCGGAACUUCAGAUUUGGCCAACGAAUUUGUAUUUACAUUAGCAUCCACCUCCGCAUGCAAAAUUUCUGGCGUUUGGAGUUUUGGUGGAAGAAAACUUCCAAAAGUCAGGGGCUCCAGUGAUGUAGCGACACCGUGAGCAGGGGUGACGAGCUUCUCAGGGACUAUCGGAGCAGGCUGGGCGGCAUUUCGCUGUCGGCGAGCCAUUUCCAGCACAAUCGCAGUCUUGCUAUUGUGCACGGAUAUAGGUACUGUUCUAUUGGAGGCUAAAGUGCGCCGAGAGCAUUUCACGUGCUGAACCGAAUAUCUAUCCCUUCCGUUCUCAACUUUAUUAAACUAAUCAUAAGUAACUCGCCAUUCGGGGAUUUGGGAAAUAGCUUGGUCUCCAUUUCCCAGACAAAAAGAAUGAGGUAUCCCCUUUUGAGUACAGAGAAUCCUUUUUUUGGUUUGACGUUGAAAUUUCUUGGAUGAUGCCUUACCUUACCCACUGACACUAAUGUAUCUUUCACUGGCAUCUUUCACGAUAUUGUCUAUGCUGGAUUUUGUUUAAUAAUAAAAGAUGGGUGAAUGAAAAAUGGUGAGAAAAGAAAUAGAGGGAAGUCAAAUUUUAAAUGAGUUCACUAUUGCAUUUUAUCCCUCAUUGGUAGAAAGAAAGAAAAUUUUGGUGUAUAUAUAGAGAAGCUCAUCUUUUAGCUCUUAAAGAGCUAAGAGAAAGGCCAGCCUCGCGCCAUCUUCGUCGCUUGCUCGACUUCGACUUCGGUUUUUCAAUGGAAGAAAAGGGUAUUUUUCUAGCUUACCACUCUUGGUAUUCAGAAAUUUACCAGCGAAGAGCCUCUAGUUCCUGCUGCGGACAUGCCGGAUAAUGAAAAGUUCAUGGUUGUUGAGGCGUGGAAGCAGACAGAUUUUAUUUGCAAAGGCUACAUCUUAAUUGCUUUAGAGGAUGACUUGUACAAUGGUUAUAGUGCAAUGAAUACUUCGAAAGAAUUAUGGGACGCACUUGAGAAGAAGUGCAAGACAGAAGAUGCAUGCUUGAAGAAGUUUGGGGUUGCCAAGUUUCUAAACUAUAAAAUGAUAGACAACAAAACUGUGGGAACCCAAGUUCAGGAGCUUCAACUUAUUUUUCACGACCUUGUUGCUGAAGGUAUGGUCGUGAAUGAAGCAUUUCAAGUAGCUGCUCCUUCGAGGAGGGAUUUAAGAACUAUCUGAAGCACAAACGCAAAGAAAUAAAGAUGGAAGAUCUUGUGAUACGUCUAAAGAUCGAGGAAGAUAACAAAACAGCCGAGAAGAAGUCUCGUGGAAAUUCAAAGAUUAUGGGAGCUAAUAUUGUUGAGGAGACUGCUCCAAAAAGUAAGAAGAGCAACAGGCCUUCUGGACAAACUAAGGAGUAGAACAAAAAGAAAUUCAAGGGAAACUGCUACAAUUGUGGAAAAGUUUGUCACAAAAGCCCUGAUUGUCGUCUCCCGAAAAAGGAUAAUAAGGAGGGACAAGCCAACAUAGUGGAGAAGAAUGAUGAUAUUGAUGAUCUCUAUGCAAUGCCUUCGGAAUGCAACCUUGAUGGAAAUCCUAAGGAGUGGUGGAUUGAGUCUGGAGCCACUCGACAUAUUUGUGCAGUCAAAGAAGCAUUUGCGAGUUACUUUACUGCUGGUCCCGAAGAAGAAAUUUCCAUGAAAAAUAAUGCAACAACCAUAGAUGGUUAAGGAUUGAUUGUGUGACUUAUGUUGUUUAGGUAUACAACAAAGAUCGACGGUUCAAAGAUAUCAAAUCUAUCUAUUGACCGAGUAUAUCCAAUAUAAGUUCACUAUUGAAAGUUCAAAGGGAAACCUAACUUAUCCAGAGAAAAUCAAUUCUUGCUUGUAAAACACACACACGUCCGCACAUUCCUUUAUGUUUAUAGCCAUUCCAUAUUAAUGUGGGGGAUUGUUGGAUUUUGUUUAAUAACAAAAUAAGGGUUAAUGAAAAAUGGUGGGAAAAGAAAUGGAGGGAAGUGAAAUUUGGAAUGAGUUCAUAAAUGCACUUUGUCUCUCAUUGGAAGAAAAGAGAAUGUCAUGGUGUGUGUAUAUAUAAGCUCAUCUUUUAGCUCUUACACAACUAAGAAGAAGGCAAGCCUCGCGUCGUCAUCGUCGCCGUCUCUCGCACAGCUUGGUUUCGGCUUCGGCUUCAGAUUUGGAUUUGUCAAAGAAUGACUGAUUAACGUUUUGGACCAAAUUCUUUUCAAAUAUUUAAUUAUUUAAUUAAAUUAAUUAAAUAAAAUUCAAUCCAAAAUAAAUAAUGACCCGCGAUCUGGUUCGGUCUGGACCGUUUUUCGUUUUCGGAUUAUUUUAAAUCCGUUUUAAACUUCCCGCAAAAAUUUCCAACAACCAUGGUUGUUCUGAAACAGUGUAACACUUGUUCUAACAACCAUGGUAGUUCUAAAAGGUUGCAAACCUUUUCAGAAACAGGACCGAAAUUGGGUAUAACUAUACCUUCAAAUCCCAGAAUAUUUACUUACUAAAUUUUUUGAAUCUUCUUCUUCUUAUGCACAAAAUGUUUCAGUGUGUUUUACGAUCAUCGAGUGGUUCGUCGAUCACUAGAAUUUUAGGUACCGAUACACUGAUGAGUUAAACUAUUCUAUCCUGGAAGGAUAUAUUCCAAAACCUCGGAUACUUGAGGGGAAUAAUUUUCUUAAGGACAUACUGUGUAUUUAGUGGGCUCGAUUUGUUCCUACAACAUUUUUCCAAAAUUUAUUUUAAGUAACUUUAUAAUUUUCGAAAUUUAAUUUCUACUAACUUUCUGUUUCUGUUUUGAGAAAAAUUAUUAUUUAAAAUAUUUAUAUGAAUACAGUUUGAUAACAGUCUAUGCUUUAGAGGUAAUAGAUGGUGAGCAUUCUUAUUGGUCUGACUUUGCUGCUUAAGGUACCGUGUCAGUGGAAACUAUUUAUUAGUUGUAUGAUUGUUCCUCUAUGAAUAUUCUUUUAGUUGUCGGAAUGAUCCUUCAGUUGUUAAUGGCAUUCUUUCAUCUAUUAAUUUUUUUUUUGUUGCAUUAGGUUUCCUAAACUUCAGUAAAAUCUUUUUCGCAGAAGUUUAACGCCUUAGUAAAGUGCUUGUAAAUCCACAGGUAUGAUAUAAUUGUAAGUCUGUCAAACCUAAAAUGGACAUGUGAUCUUUUAAAAGCUUCUGAGAAGCUAAACAGUGGAAUACUUGAAUAUUGAAAAGUAUCUGCACUUUUUUUUGGCAUAGGGUAAAGUAUAGACUCUAUUCUUCAAAAAAUUUUAUUUUGUAUCUCACACAACUGAACUGACAUUAAUUGUGUGAGACCUUUUUUUUCCUUACAACUGUGUGGGUCCCAGAAUUUUGUGGACCCAGAUGCGUAAGAUAUGGGUCUACAAAUAUGUGAGAUAAAAAAAUAGCUCACACAACUAAUGUAAGUUGUGUGAGACACAAAUCAAAAUCACUCCUAUUCUUCUCAUACAUAAAGUAUAAGAGACACAAAAUAAGGAGUAUGUCAAUCAGGUGUUACAUCAGAGAGAGAAGUAUAAUCAGUUCUUUCCCCGAAGACACCAUCUAAGUGUUGCUUAUUAACAAGAUGAUAGACCCAAAGAACGGCAAGAUAGGCGACCAUCACUCCAUGCUAAAUUUUAGUAAGCAGUACGUUGUUUAGGCUCAGCUAUGCUUUUGUUUCUCACUUGGAUGAGGGCUAAUAAAUUAUAUAUCAGCAGGAGCACUUACAAAAACGCUGAUGAUGUCAAGCUAUACUAUCCUGAUAAAUGCAAAUGAUAAAUCUAAUGACAUACAAAUGAUUAAUCAUCAGUUGAAGAAACAAUUCACCUGACGGAUGUUAAAGAUAUUACAGAAAUUAUCUUUAGUAUUUGUGUUUAUUGUGUUAGUCACUAAUCUAUUUGAAUAAGUCAACUUAGUAAUUCCUAGUUUUAAGGAUAGUUUCUAGUUUGUUGGUACAGAUCAAUUAUUUUAGGAGAUAUGGAUUUUAUGCUUUGUUUGUUGCAGAUUUUUUGGGAUUCAAUUGUAUUCUCUGUUGUAUAAAUACAGCUGGUUGGAUUAAUAAAAUAUACACAAGUUCCCUAAUUUUCUCUUCCUGUUCAUAACUUGUUUGAUUGAAAGUCUUGAAUAAUGUUCUCUUGUUAAUGCUCUGUCUCUCUUGAUCUUGCAGUCAAGCAGGAAAUUGUUAUUAUUUUUUCUUCAAACCAGAUUACUAAAAUUAACAUCUGGUAUAGAGCAAGGAUAAACAGGAGAGGGCGAACAAUGCUACCGGAGUGAACCCAAUACUUCCUUCUAUUCCAUUCUUCAAAGGAAGUGUCUAUGAAGUUUGGAGCAUAAAAAUGAAGGCUCUCUUCAUCUCUCAGAACCAGUGGGAAUUAGUCGAAGCUACAAUGAAACAGGGGUUUCGGCUGAGCUCUCAAGGAAUUCAAGAAAAAAGAUGCUAAAGCUCUUUUUUUUCAUUCAACAAGCCAUAGAUGACAGCAUCUUUCCACGAAUUGCAGCUGCAACAAAGUCGCGAGAUGCCUGCAAUGCACUACCACUCGGCUAUCGAGGGACUGCCAAGGUUCAAUCUGUAAAAUUGCAAACACUUAGAAGAAAGUUUGAGGAAUUUUUUAUGAAGGACAAUGAAACUAUGGAAGCCUAUUUUCGCAAUGUCCUGGAGGUUGUCAACUAGAUCAGCAAGUAUGGUGAUCAAUUGACAAAACAAAAGGUUGUUGAAAAAAUAUUGCGGAGCCUUCCUAAGAAAUAUGAUCACGUGGUGGCUGCCAUAGAAGAAUCGAAAGACUUGAGUGAACUGACAACUGAUGAAUUACUUGGCUCUUUGCAAUCUCAUGAAGACAGGUUGAAUAAACGAGUAGAAAGUGGUGCUGAUAAUGCAUUUUUCUAAUUCAAUUUCUAGUGAGUCACAUGACAAGUAAGGGCGUAGAGGCUAUGUUGGUCGUGGAAGAAGAGGCGGUCGAGGCGGUGAACGUGGAAACUAUCAUCAAAAUAAAAAUGCAGGGAGUAGGCAUGAUCGGAGACACAAAUUCUACAACUGUAAGAAGUCGAGUCACAUUGAAAAGUUUUGUCGACUCAAAACUGAACACAUUUCGAAGUUUGCAGAGGAGAAAGAAAAAGAAAAUGAGACUGAAAGUUUGUUCAUGGCUUGUUUUACUUGUACAUGCUCUUCGCAGGUUUGGUAUAUGGACAGCGGUUGCAGCAAUCAUAUGACAGCAAACUUAAAUGCUUUCAUCAACCUGGACAAGUCAAUCAAGAAGGAGGUGAAGAUGGGAGAUGGUACGAUUCGUCAAGCUUGUGGAAAAGGGUCUGUCAAGGUAAAUUUUUGUAGUUUCAACUACAUUAAUGAUGUUCUAUAUGUACCUGAUUUGGAUUCAUGUUUGUUGAGCGUGGGGCAAUUCCUAAGAGAUGGUUAUGCACUUCUAGUUGAGGUUAUGGCAUGUGCUGUUUUUUCUAAUAAGAACACAUAUUGUUCAAAGUACCUAUGGCAGAGAAAAACAUAUUUCCUCUCUCCUUGGAGUGUAAUGACCAAGCACUUGCAGUCACCAUAGAUGACAAUAGCUAGCUAUGGCACCAUGGUAUGGGCAUUUAAACUUUAACAGCUUGAAAUCUCUAUAUAAUCAAGCUUUGGUGGAUGGGUUGCCCUCGAUUCAGCAUAUAAAGGACAUAUGUGCAAACUGUAUGUUUGGAAAUCAACAUCAAGAUAGAUUCCCAAGAGAUCUGCGAUGAGAGCAUCAAGACUCAUUAAGCUGGUUCAUGCCGAUUUGUGUGGUUCGAUGAGAAUUCCCUCUAUGAAUAACAACUUGUAUUUCCUUUUUUUUGUUGAUGACUGUAGCAGGAUGUCAUGGGUUUAUUAUCUCAAAGAAAAAUCUACAGCUUUCUUAAUUUUUAAGAAAUUUAAGAGUUACGUUGAGAAGAAAAGUGGAAAUACCUUGAAGAUCUUGAGAACUGACCGGGAAGGUGAAUUUCUUUAAACUGAAUUCAACAAUUUUUGCGAUGAGUGUUGAAUUAAGUGGAAAAUGACAGCUAGAUACACAUCCCAAUAAGAUGGAGUAGUAGAACGGAAGAAUUGAAGUCUUGUUGAAAUUGCAAAGUGCAUGAUGAACUCUAAGAGUCUUCCGAAAUGUUUCUGGUCUAAUGAAAUACACACUGCAGCUUAUCUUCUUAAUCGAAGUCCUACAUCAGCUUUGAAUAAUCAGACACCAUUUGAAGCUUGGCAUGGGUGGAAACCAAAGGUAACUCACUUUAAGGUCUUUGGUUGUAUUUCUUAUAUCCAUGCUCCUUCUCAACAAAGAAAUAAGCUUGAUGAAAAUAGUGUCAAGUGCAUAUUUUUGGGCUACAGGGAUGAAACUAAAGGCUAUUGCUUUUAUGAACCUUUCACUAAAUUCCAUGUUCCUUCUCAACAAAUAGAUUAGCUUGAUGAAAAUAGUGUCAAGAGCAUAUUUGUGGGCUAUAGUGAUGAAACUAAAGGCUAUCACAUUUAUGAACCUAUCACUAAAAAGCUGAUUGUUGGUCGUGAUAUUGCGUUUGAUAAAAAAAUAAAUGGAAUUGGGUUGAGAAAUAGGGCCGUCCAGAAUUAUUAGAAGUAGGUGAUGAGGAUUUUAGCACUCCUACACAAGGCGAAAGUGAUGACUCAGAUCCUUCAAAUCCAUCAAGCCCAUCCAGCUCAUCAACUACAUCUGUUAGUUCAACUUCAUAUCACUCACCUCCAAAUAAGUGGGGAUCAUUGCAGGAACUUUACCAGAGAACAGAACAAUGUCAAGUUGCACAAAUUCAUGAGCACGGCUGCUUCAAAGAUGCCACAAAUUGAAAGGAAUAGUGUGAUGCCAUGAAUGAAGAAAUGAAGGCCCUAGAAUGAAACAAGACGUGAGAGCUUGUUGAGUUGCCGGAAGGAAAAGAAGUAGUUGGUCUAAAAUGGAUUUACAAGCUGAAGUACAAACUUGAUGGCCCAAUCCAUAAAUACAAAGCUCGACUAGUUGCUCGUGGUUACAUGCAGCGAGAAGGUAUGAACUUUGAAGAGAUGUUCACACCAGUGGCCAAAUUUGACACCAUAAGGACUGUUUUGGCAAUAGCUGCACAUUAUAAGUGGAAUGUCUACCAAUUUGAUGUCAAACCAGCCUUUCUAAAUGGGUACCUGGCUGAAAAUGUCUACGUGGAAUAACCACUAGGAUAUGAAGUGAAAGGAAAAGAGACAAAGGUGUGUAAGCUAAGGAAAGUUUUGUAUGGACUCAAGCUAGCUCCAAGGGCUUGGUACAAGAGGAUUGAUGAGCAUUUCAGCAAGAAUGGUUUCCAGAAAAGGGCCAGCGAGCAGACAUUGUAUGUGAAAGCAACAGGAGCAGAUGAGGUACUUAUUGUUUGUCUUUAUGUAGAUGAUAUAAUUUACACAAGCAAUAGUUCUUCAUUAAUCCCUGAUUUUAGAAGACUCAUGAUUAGAGAGUUUGAAAUGACUCACUUGGGUCAGAUGAGCUAUUUCUUAGGAUUGGAAAUACAUCAAAGUGGUGCAUGAAUUUUCAUCGGUCAACAGAAGUAUGUUAAGGACAUUCUUUGUAAGUUCAAGUUGCUAGAUUGCAACCCUGUGAAGACUAUGAUGGCAACUAAUCAGAAAUUUAUGGCUGUAGAUGGAUAAGAAUAGAUUGAUGCUCAUGUUUAUCGAAGCUUGGUUGGAAGCCUACUUUAUCUUACAAAUACUCAACCGGAUAUCUUGCAAGCUACUAGUCUUUUAUCAAAGUUUAUGCAAAAACGAAGCAAGAAGCAUUACGGGGCAGCAAAGCGAGUCCUGAGAUACUUGAAGGGAACAAUUUCAUAUGGUCUGUUUUAUUGAACUGAUAAUCUUAAUUUAUGUGGCUAUUCUGAUAGUGAUUGGGUAGGUUCUGUUUGGGGUCAAGUGUCAUAUCUUGGAGCUCAAAGAAGUAAGCAUCUACUGCUUUGUCUUCCUCUGAAGCUGAAUACAUGGAUGAAACUUCACCUGCUUUUCAAGCAGUAUGGUUGCAAAGAAUUUUUGAAGAUAUUAAGCAAAAUCAGAAGGCAACUGUGAUCAACUGUGAUAAUCAGUCACGAUAGCCAUGACCAAGAUUCAUGUUUAUCAUAGCCGUACAAGACAUAUUGAGACUCGGCUUCAUUACAUCAGAGAGCUAGUUUCAAAAGGAAUCAUCCAGAUUAUGUAUUGUAGUACAAAUGAUCAACAAUAAGAUAUAUCUACAAAACCACUUCCUGCAGUAAAAUUUUAAUAUUUUAAGGAAAUGAUUGGUGUUGUAAAUUUCUGCAUUAAGGGAAGUGUUAAAGAUAAUGCAGAAAUUAUCUUUAGUAUUUGUGUUUAUUCCGUUAGUCACUAGUCUAUUUAAAUAAGUCAACUUAGUAGUUCCUAGUUUUAAGGAUAGUUGCUUGUUUGUUGGUACAUGCCAAUUAUUUUAAGAGAUAUGGAUUUUAUGCUUUGUUUGUUGCAGACUUUUUGGGAUUUAGUUGUAUUCUCUACUGUAUAAAUACAGCUAGUUGGAUUGAUUGAAAGUUGCUAGUUUGUUGGUACAGGCCAAUUCUUUCUUCCUGUUCAUAACUUGUUUGAUUGAAAGUCCUAAAGAUUGUUCUCUGGUUAAUGCUCUGCCUCUCUUGAUCUUGCAGUCAAGUAAAGAAGUGUUAUUGUUUUUUCUUCGAACCAGAUUACUAAAAUUAACAACUGACAUAAGUUAUUCACAGUUAUGUGUUACUAAACUGAAAGGAAGUACGUGAUCUUCUUUAGGACAUAGAGAUACUUCAAAAAGAGAAAGCACAAGCACAAAGAAAGCACAUUGUCAUCCAUUACCUACAGAAAGAAAGUUCAUGAGUUUGGGGGAGGGUGGAUGGGACGAUUUUUUUGAACUCUUUGUGCUUCUACUUUUUCUCUUGCAAUUUUUCAAACAAGCAAUAAUUUCUUUUUAUGUUUCCGUCUCAUGAGAAAAAUAUGAACUGUUGUUAUCUUUCAUGAGAAAAAGUUGAACUGUUCUCAUCUUUCAAGGUUUCCAUUAAAUGUAUUGCAGAUUUCAAAUAGAAGAUGAAGAUGGUCCUUCUUUAACUUUAGAAUAUGUAUUUAGUUUCUAAACUUUGAAGUUUGUAAUUAUAACCUAAGGACCUUUACUUUGUUUUUGUUGCUAUAUUUAACCAAUGACAGUUAUAUGGUAACAAAAUAUGACAUAUUGUUCACAACCUUUCACAAAAGGAUUUACCUAAAUGAUAAAUGUAUGGGUCCAAAUUUAGACAACCACGACUGUUGAUAAUACGACAAACGACAAGAUUCUCGUUGCACGACAUCCUGUGGAGGAAGAUAGAAUAGCGAACAGAGACUGCGUGACUUUUAUAGUAGUGUACGUCCAAUAGGGACAUUAGGAAUAUUCCUUCGAAUAUUUCCCAUAAUAUGCCAUUUAGGGUUUAGAAGGGGUUUGUCCCUUAUAUAUAGCGGAAAACAACUUUGUAAGGGGGGGGGGGGGGGUUUUGGGCUUUUCUAGCUAAGAACACUGGCUGUAAUAUUUUUUUACGUAAACGAUUGGCAUCUUUAACGUUCAAUCAUUCAUCUUCACAAGAUCAAGGAAUAUUAUCCAUUGUAUUCAUCUUAUAUACCUUUAUUGCUGAGAUUUUAGUUUCGCCUAGAUCCUUGAAAUAGAUAAUCGCCUCUUUUUAGCCUCGCAAAGGCCAGCAAUGGCAGGAAAGGGAGAAGCAAGAUUAAAGGCAAUAGUAGGAGUCACGAAAAACCUUCUGGAUUCCAUCGCUGAAGCCGGCAGGGAAGACAAUGAAAACACAACGUAAAGUGCUACACCUGAGGGAGAUAUCUCCAUCCCCCCCUCCUCGCUGCAUGAAAGCAUGACUGUCUCCGCAUGAAAGGGAAGCCUCAACAUACGCAACAGGAAAAGCACCACCAGUUGUGAAAAGGCUAUUAGAGGAGUGGUUGACAAACAUCUUGAGAAACAUACUCGACAAACCCGCUCAAAGGGAUAUCGGAGGCACAAUACACAUAGAAACUACAACUGUCACCGAUGAGCCAGAAACUCCACGCAUAGGUAACACUCAUAUUAUCAUCGAUGCAGGUGACGAUGCACUUGCGUUCUUCUUAAAAAAAGAAAUAUAAAACGAGAACAAAAUGCUCCGUGAUUAGAUGUGGAAGCAUCAGGAAAGGGUCGAUAAAAUACUAGGCGUUCCAAAGUUACUAACAAAACGUGACGUAGGCCAAUUCGUCGAGCAACCGUAAAGUGAAGAGGCAACCCCCACUCUAUUCCAAAAACCUUCAAAAUAACU
This 50371-nucleotide long non-coding RNA is filed under the name Nicotiana benthamiana. Its description in RNAcentral is "long non-coding RNA (NBEN_LNC023041)". Lineage: Eukaryota; Viridiplantae; Streptophyta; Magnoliopsida; Solanales; Solanaceae. The record is from RNAcentral.